Molecule: long non-coding RNA, 47356 nt
Filed under: Triticum aestivum (bread wheat)
Lineage: Eukaryota; Viridiplantae; Streptophyta; Magnoliopsida; Poales; Poaceae
Description: long non-coding RNA (TAES_LNC008132)
Rfam family: MIR1120/MIR1122 microRNA precursor family (bases 23678-23796)
Source: RNAcentral
UGGUAUUCUGGAAAUGAGAUGGGCUCGUGUAGCGGUUGACGAUUGGUGGAGGAAUGAGCAGUUCUGGGUCAUUGGAGGUGUAUCUGCCCAUCUGUUUGCCGUGUUCCAAGGACUUCUCAAGGUGAUAGCUGGUGUGGACACGAGCUUCACCGUCACAACAAAGGCUGGAGACGAUGAGGAGUUCUCGGAGCUGUACACCUUCAAAUGGACAACCCUGUUGAUACCCCCGACCACCCUGCUCCUGCUGAACUUCAUCGGGGUGGUUGCCGGCAUCUCCAACGCUAUCAACAACGGAUAUGAGUCAUGGGGGCCUCUCUUCGGGAAGCUCUUCUUUGCGUUCUGGGUGAUUGUCCAUCUUUACCCGUUCCUCAAGGGUCUUCUUGGAAGGCAGAACAGGACCCCGACGAUCGUCAUCGUCUGGUCCAUCCUGUUGGCUUCUAUCAUCUCGCUCCUGUGGGUGCGUGUGAACCCUUUCCUUGCCAAGACCGACGGCCCUCUUCUGGAGGAGUGCGGUCUGGACUGCACCUAGGAGAUGAAAGGAUGGACGAUCAAAAUGAGUCAUCAUGUGGAGUAAUUUUGAAGGUGUUUUUGUGCCCAUAAAUUUUUUGUCUUCCAUUCCUCCAUCCCCUGUGUAGAUAGAAAACAAACAUGCAACAAGUGUUAAGUUAUUGGUUUUGUUCCAUGGUGGGUAGCUGGGCCUCAUAUAUGCAAAAUAUUUGGGCAGACGGGAGGCUGCGGCAACCCUUCUUCACCUCACCUCUGUGCAGUUCGGCCACGAAGAAGCAAGGAUACAGUCAGCCAAGUCAGUGUUGUUUCAUUGUCCAGCCAUCCAGCAAUUCUUUAUUUGUUGACCUUGAUUUAAAUGGAGAGGGAUAAAAUGUAUGUAAGUGAGCCGAAACUGAGAGCUGUCGUCUGUAUGCUAUGCCCCAAGGAUUGUAUUAUGUAUGUACAAACUGAAAACAACUUGUAUUUUUCUCUCUGUAAGGCAAGAAUGCCGUUUGUAAUAGAGGAAGCUGCACAUUAUUUAUCUAGCUUGUUUUGGUAAAUUCUAAACUGGAUAAAUGCCUGCAUGCUUGCUGCCCAUUCAUCUGCACAUUGUUAGGUUGUCAUCUUCUUGUUCCUCUUUCUAGUUCCACUAGUUCUAUGCUUCAUCUGCUCACCAGAUUUCCAUUAGUGUAGGUAUCAAGAAAAAUUGAAAGCCUGACUGCCAGUGCAAGGCCAGGAUUCUUAACUCCGAAGGGAGGAACGGUGCUGUAGCUUUGGCUUUGCGCCCUGCGAUUCUGCGACCGACCAAGAGCCAGCUAUGAAUUGCGUCCACAUGGUUGGCGCUGGAUUUGCUCGCCCGUGGUCCAUGGUUACACCUUACACGCAGCAGUGCGGGUGCAGUGUAGGCGCAGUACAGCUGGGUGGAAUCGCACGGAGCGCAGGCACAUGGUACUUGACAAAAGAUAUGACUGCACAUGCACGUGCCAUGCCAUGUUCGCCGCUGCCUGCCGGCCCCGGCCCCAGCGCACCGCUCGCUAAUGCUAAAUGGCCUGCCGCUUGAUCCACAGAGGCGUCUAUCUAUAUAUAGAAUUAGAUCCUAAUAACACCACUAGUUUGUCUGCUGCUGCCGGAGGGUGAACACACGGGCAUGCACAGUCCAAUUCUGGCUCCUGCCGCACCCGCACCGCGAUCCUUUUCGCGCCUCCCUCCUUGCUGUCGGUGGCUCAUCCUGACCCUGAUCUGAUCUGAAUAUCUGAUCAGGGCUUGCAUGAUGGUUAGGUUAGGUUAGGUUGGGAUAGAUUAAGCUUUAGAGGUUAGGUGGCACGUACCUUCCGCAUCCAGCUUCUUCUCCAUUAUUUUUCCCCUUUGACGUACAAUGAUUUGAUUGACACGCAAAAGAAAGAGAGGCCGCAUAUAUGGCUCGUGGGCGCGUAACUAAUCAAUCAAUGAUGAUCGAGCGGGGAAAAAGGGGUAAAGGCCGGCGUCGGUCAUGAAAAUGAUCAAGGUUUGCGUGCGCGUACGUAUGGGUGGUUGUGGUUGACAGUGAAGUCGAUGUCGAUCCGAAUCCGAUGGGACGCGCCAACGAACGGGCGGAGACCCGGCCAGCCGGUGCCAUCUGUGCUUGCCUUGCCGCGAACAACCAUCGUCGGUGCCCUGGUUAAUCCUCGGUACUGCUGCCUGCCGGCUUAGCUCCAGAUUUGAUCUUGCCUGCGGGUUGUCGGUCGGUGGAGUGGAGUGGCCGGCGUUGUGUGUCCAACGUGUGUGUGUAUGCUCACUGCGCCUGCGUGCUUGUAGCACUAGCACGUACUAAUUCGCUUGUAAUUUCUGGACAAGCAUGCGUACGUACGUACGUACAUGUUAUGCAGACAAGUCGAAUCAAAGAGAAAGGGCUACGUACGAAGUGCUACUGUGAGUAGCAAGGCCAGGAGGCUCGAUCGGACCACUGCUCUUCAUCAGUCCCUCUCUCUCAUCUUGCUUGCCGGAAAAGAUGACAAGAGCUUGAUUGAUUGAUUAAUCAGCCGGCCGGAGAAUACGAUGAUAAUGUAGUCUGUGUGCAAGUUGGUCACCACGCAUGCCAUCUUCACGCCUAGCCAUGUAAUUAACCACGAUCUGGAACGUCGUAAAAGAAUGCAUGCAUGGAACCUUCCUCCCAUCCGGCUUUACUUGCUCGAGCGCUGAACAUAGUAUUUUUUUUUACCUGCUCGGUCGCUGAAUAGAGUAUGUGGCUACUAGUACUACUUGGCACGUACUUUUAGUGGUCAACGCUCGCGAAUGGCCAGUAUAGUUAGCGAAGCAGAUUGAGAUAGAUGGGCUAAAGCAAUAUGGUCUAUAGAUCUACAUGUAUUUUUUUAUUGUUUUUGAUGUUCGUUAUAUUAUAAUGAUUGAAGAUGAAAAGAUUGAAAGUUUUUUCAAUUUUGAGUUGCAGUAGAUUCAGUGGUUGAUCAAUCGAUCGCCCUAUCCACGGUAUCCAGUGCAUGCGUGCAGAGGAGGGAAAGGGAAAGUAUCAGGUGAUACCAGCCCUUAUAUUGCUACCAUGAUACUAACUUUAAAAAUUUAAAUUUGAACUUGUCAAAAAAUUCUGAAAAAAAUUAAGGAUGUUCAUGACAUAUAUGUCGACAACCCCUAAAAAAUUCAGGUCAAAAUUCGAAAUAUACAUGGAAAAACAAAAAAGAUAAAUUCAGAUGUGAAUAGUGUCAUUUUUUCUUUUGUCUUUUUUGACACUAUUCAUGAUGGAUUUGCCUUUUUUUGUUUCUCUUUGUGUAUGUCAAAUUUUGAUAUGAUGUUUUAGGGGUUGUCGGCAUAUAUGUCAUGAACAUACAUGAUUUUUUUGAAUUUUUUUUGACAAGUUUAAAUUUGAAUUUUAAAAAUUGGUAUCAUGGUAGCAUAUAAGGGUGGUAUCAGCUGAUACUUUCUCGCGUGACAGAAUCAGCGACCAGAUCAUUAUCCAAAUCAAAUCAAAGAGUCACUCCUCCUACUGCAGUCGUCGUCAGGCUCAGACAGAGCAGCAGCAGCAUCGAGCUAGCAUUUAAUUCCAUCUCUGUCUGGCUGCAAAUGGGAUACCACCAUCUUCAAAUUAAGUUAAAUUAAUUAAGCAACUACUACUGGUAGAACUCCAUCUACUACCAAUAGAAAAAUUCGUCCAUUGUCCUCUGUAACAGCGCUCUGAAAACGUAAAAGAAUGGAACCUUCUCAUCAAUUGUUUACUCGGCUUGCAGUAGUUCAGUAGUCAACGCGAAUGGUAGUGGUGAUGACAUAGAGACCUUUAUUUAUUAUUUUAUAGUUAUUUUUCAUUGCACAAUAUUCCUUCUCUAAAGAAAUAUAAGAUCGUUUAGAUUACUAGCGUUAUAUGUCUCUCUCUUUUUUAAUUACUUGUCACAUCAUUUUUUUUGCCUAUCUGGCAUGCAUAUUGCUAUCUCUGUUAUUUCCACCAUGAGUAGUCUAAUCGGGUAUCAAAAGCAAAAUAAGAGUUUAAUAAAAAUGAUGCACCCACUGGUAAUUAUUGCAUGGUUGGUUUCGGGUAGUGAGUCUCAUCAUAACUCGGAUCGUGAGAUUAUGCUUAUACAUUGUCGGCACUCCCUCCGCCCUUGUUUAUAGUUGGGGUGAGUUCUUAGGUGUUUAACUAACAAAGCAUGAUUUAUAUGCCAUUAAAAUUUAUGUUUAUAAAUUUUAUUUGAAUAAGGACAUAGUGAUAUGCUUUUGAUCGUAUAUAAAACAUGAUUCGUUAGUCAAACAAGGGAUUUAUCAAACCCACACCGAUCCUAUAAACCCAGCGAGAGGGAGUACUAUUGUUUUUUGGUUCUGCCAAUUUUGGCCCAUCAAGAGAUUUUGCACAACAAUAGACAUAAAGUCGCUCCUCCUCCUCCAAAAAAUAAAGCUAGGGUUUCUGCCUCUCGCCGGCGCCGCCGCAGGUCCACCUCGUCUCCGGUGGCCCUAGGGCCAUGGGGGCGCGGUGGAUCCUGCCAAGGGCCGGCGGGAGGGCUCCGUUUUCAUUCGUUUUUUCCUGUCUUGUUAGGGUUUGUGUCAUGCUCAGGAAGGCGAGACGGCGGCGGCUCCCUGAAGAUGGAAUAAAGGUCUCCCCGCCUAGCCCCCGUUCCGGCGGUGCAUCUAGCAUCGUUGGUGGGCGUGUGGAGGUGUGUCUCCGGCUGAUCUAUCUUUGGUGGAUUUGCUCGGAUCUCGUCGUUGUUCGUCUACGUUCGUGUGUCUUCGGGUUGAAUCCUUCCAACCUACGUUAUUCUUCUUCGGCGGCGGUUGCUGUUCUGGUGCGCUGGUCCUAUGGGGCCUUAGCACGACGACUUCCCGACUGUCUACUACAACAAGUUGUGCCCGACUCCGGCGAUGGAGGGGUGAUGACGGCGGCGCGCCUUCGGCUCGCUUCAAUGCUUGUAGUCGUCGCUAGGUGGUCUACAGAUCUGGAUGUAAUUUUUACUUCUGGUGUUCGUUGUACUGCCAUGAUUGAAGAUGAAUAGAUUAGAAGUUUUUCGCAAAAAAAAAGAGCUUUUGCACAAAAAUGUAUACAAUUCCAAUUUAGAGAAAAAGUGUACAACCAGACGCAUACAUGAUUCUCAUCCAGAGCCUCUAACGCUAAUGGCCCGCAUGAUCCACAGAGGCAUGGAUGGACUAUAUAGUGGUUGUUUUGUACUGAGAAUUGCGUGUAGGAUUUUGGUAAACAAACUUUUGGAAGAUUUUAGCAAGACCAAUUUUGAUUAGUUUCUUUGUCAAGAUAAGCAUGUGCAGUUUCUAGUUUGGAUCAGCAAGUUGUUGCAAUCUACUAUACAUAAAGCUUGUUUUUUCUGCAACAACUUUGUUUUUGCAAUCCAUAGAUUAGUUAGAUAAUCCAAACAAGAUCUGAGGUUGUCACACCAGAAGUCAUGCAUUCUUAGGCAGAACUGGUUCUCUAUAAUCCGGACAACCAAACAACCAUAUAGUAUGUUGCUGGAUACAACACAUGCUUUUUUUUUUUUGCGAAUGCACAACACGUGUUGUUUGGUAGUAUAAUAUUUAGAAAUAACUGAAGCAUUCCCUAAAAAGCCAUACGGAGGUGACUGAGAAUUUCUUAAAUCUCAGCCGACGGAGAUUUUCUUAAAUCUCAGUCGACCUGACCACAGUUGGAUUAGUGUCAAGAUUCGUGCCAAAAACCCAUUCGCUACAUUUUUGGGAGGAACAUCCCACUCUGGGAUUGUUCUUUUAUCUACUUUGGGCCGAGUGUCUCCUCUAAUUUUUAUUCUUCCAUUUGGGCCAGAGUUCAUGUACCUGCUUAGGAAAGGGUCUUUUCCAUCGUUCUUUUUUUUCCUUGAAGAAAGCGUACUUACUGGUCAAGUUUUCUAUUUGGAGCAUUUCAUGACAUAUAUGUGCCUUUUUUACUCUAUUGUUCUUUGUUUAUUUGUCUUCUAAUCUUUUCAUGUAUUAAUUAUUUUAUUUUAAGUAUAACAACAAUUAUAUCAAAAACAAAAAGGAAUUGAAAAACAACCUUAUCAUGAUUUUUAAUAGAAAUACGUUUUGUAUUUAUUUUAUCUAAAGUUACUAAUUGUUUCCUUAAUAAUUCUCAAAAAGUAUCUUUUAUUUUUGUUUGCAUAGUACAAUUGCACGAUUUAAUGUGCGUGAAUUGUACGAUUGUAUCUUGAUGUUUUUCUUGCAUUGCAGUUAUUGAUACAUUGACGUUGCACUUUUAUUAUAAUCAAGUUGUACUUUUACAUGGCAUACAUAUUUUAUCUUUUGGAUUAUGUCAUGGUUGCACUUUUCAAUAAUCUCAAUUUACACUUUUCCGGAAAUGUCCAACUACCCAGCAACUAGUUUCUUCACAUGCCAUUUGUAUUUUCACCACAUUUUUAAAUAAAUUCAAGUUGCACCUUUUUUGGAAAUGUGCAACUACCUACUUUCAUAAAGUGCAACAAAGAUUUUUACAUUUUAUAUCUAUUUUUCUCUUCUAGAUUAAGAACAUUUGUAUUUCCCCCACAUUUUUAAAUAAAUUCAAGUUGCAUAUUUUCUGGAAAUGUGCAACUACCUACUUUCAUAAAGUGCAACAAAGAUUUUUACAUUUUAUAUCUAAUUUUCUCUUCUAGAUUAAGAACUAGUUACACUUUUUAACAAACUAAAGUACAUUUGUAAAUGUAUUUCUUCAUAAAGGCACACACACGCUCAUGAGUGUAUCGUGUAUCUAAACAUCAUGAACGCACGCGCUCGCCAAAGGCACGUCUCGUGCCUCUUCCUGGUCUUUUAUUUUUCACAAUCUCAGUGGUACAAAGUGGCAGCUCUAUGCAUAACACGCACGGACCCUGGCGAGCUUACCUAGCCGGACUCAAACUUAUAUAGACUUAAAUACAAACCCAAAUGAUAAGUGUCACACGUGUGGCACGAAGGACUCUGACUUUGACAUCUUUAAAACUAACAAAAAGAAAAACAAAUCUCAAAGAAAAACAAAAACUUGCCAUCCGAAAAGAAAGUUGUUAUGCUUGACAACUAAAGUUGGCAUGCUUGACAACUAAAAUUGCCAUCCUUGCGCCACUAAAUUUGCCAUAAAAAAGUUUGAAACUACGAUGUGUUUUUUUUUUUGCGAAAAGAAAUUGCCAUAUGUUGGUGCCACAUGUGUGGCACUUAUCAGGGUCCAAUACAAAACCGACCACCAGUAGGUGCUACACGUAGCGUGUGCUAGUACACUAGUAGAGAAAGGGCCUUUUGUCCCGGUUCGUAAGGGCCUUCUGUCCCGGUUUUGGAACCGGAACUAAAAGGUCGUUACUAAUGUCCUUGGCCUUUAGUCCCGGUUCUUACACGAACCGGGACAGACGGGCCUCCACGUGGCCGCUGCGGCCAGCCCAGGCAGGGGGACCUUUGGUCCCGGUUGGUGGCACCAACCGGGACCAAUAGGCAUCCACGCGUCAGCAUUUCAGGGGCUGUUUUUUUUUGAAAGGGGGGGUGCGGUUUAGGGGUUUUUGGGGAGUUAAUUUAGGUUGUUAUUAGCUAGCUAAUAAAGAGAAGUGUCAUCUCUUAUAUAUCUCCGUGCUUGGUUUACCAAUGCUACUGCUAUGCCUAAUGUUAACAUGGCUUAGAUUGAAGUGAAGGCAACAUGUGGUGCAUGUCGAAAGUAAUACUAAUCCUAACUUGAUUAAGUUUGGAUUGUACUACUUUCGACAUGCACCACAUGCAUGUUGCCUUCACUUCAAUCCAAUCCAUGUUCAUUUCACCCGCUCGCAUCAUGCAUCAUCAUAUAUAAUAACAAGUCCUACUAAUUAAUCAUCAUCAUACAACUUCUACUCGUUAUUAAUAACAAGUCAUACGAUCAUCAUCCUCAUAGUCAUCGAACCAACACUACUUAAUUGUUAUUAGCACAUGAUCAUCAUUAUGAGGUAUAACACUCUUUAAGGUAAAAUAGCAUAAAAUAAUAUAGACCCUGACUCUCCAUUAUGAAAAAUGGAGAUCAUCCUGUCUCCAAUUCUUGCGCUUCGCUUCCUUUUGUUUUCAAGAAGCUCCUUACGACUGUCCAUACAUUUUUUCCAUUCUUUGAUUGUCAUGUCUCCACUUUUUUUAGAAAUCCAAUAUGGACAGUUGAGAUUCGUAGGACGACCUGGUUGUAUGUUCAAAACAUCAAGGCGACCGUGCGUAUACAUCAGAUGAGGCACACAAUCAUUCGGGAUUAUCUGUUGAAGAACAUAGUAAUAACUUCAUAGUUAACAAUGAUGUACUAGUUUUAGAAGUAUGCAAAAGAUGCACGGAUGUCGUAAUAGUAAAAAAUCUUACCAGGGUAUCUCCAUGGUAGUUACCAUAGUUCAACACGUGCACUAGUGGCACGUAUUGACCAUAAUGUUGAGGAGUUCGAUUGUAGAUAUUAUAAUUCUCAAGAUCAUUACAAAAUGCGAUCAGAUGAUUUUUCUCCUUAUAAGUUAAAUCGGAGCCAUCGGUAUAGUGGAUUUUGUCUACCAUCUUCCGCACAUUCUUUGAACAAUGAAAAUAAGCUGUCAAUGAAAAUAAGCUGUCAACUAUUUUGAAAUAAACGAUAUAUUACUUAAUAACUAUGCUUGAGAAGCUCACAUAGGGAAAGAAUUGGAAGCAUAUCAACAAUGACCCAAAUGUCUAUAUUGUCUUGCUCGAUAUUAGGAUCACCAAGAUCCAUGGUGACAAACAUACCCUUAUCAAAACCAUACAUCUUGCAAAGUGCUUCUCAAUUUUUGCAACCAAAAUGGGUUACACUCUCAGAAUUGUACAACUUUACUUCAAAAUCCACACCAUGAUGGGUCCUUUGGUGAAUUUUCUUUGUUUCCAUACUUUCAUGGUCUUCAAAACCCAUCCUCUCAAAGACAUAGGGUCUUGCAUAGCAUGGGAUAAGCUAGUCGAAUUGGAAAAGAUGAAAAUUACACGUUAAAAUAGUCGAAGUCGUGCUUAAUUACAAAAAAAACUAUUGUCGUCGUUGCAUACCGUUUCAACAUCGAAGGUCUCCUCGAGCUUAAUGCUGAAGCACCGAUCUUCGUCCAGCUCAAGGAACCUGUCGCACAUACCUCGGUCGUCGUGGCACCAGUCGCACUCCCCCGGGAGGUUUUCGUCGUCCGAGUACGACAUUUCCUAUGUUCAUAAUUCAAAUAUUAAACUUGUACAAUUAAAUAUAUGUACUAAAAAACUCUCAACUCAUGUACAUAUUCGAUCAUCGGUGAUGGUAGCUCCUCCUUUCAUUCCCGAGUGCAUUACACAAAAUUGUCUAGCACACGGGAAUGAAGGAGAAGCUACCCCCACGACAACAGCCGGAAUUCUUUGUCCUCUCAUAUAUAUAUGGUUGGAGACUCUCCCUCACUGAUUCCUCUAUGACAUUUGCGAACGUCGGUGAUGAUAGCUCCUCCUUUCGUUCCGGAGUGCAUUACACAUUGUGUCUAGCACACGGGAACGAAGGAGAAGCUACCCCCACGACAACAGUCGGGAUUCUUCGUCCUCUCAUAUAUGUGGAGACUCGACAGACUUAAAGUCAACCCGAGGACUCAUAUUAUAGGAGUCAUAUUGACAUGGAGAUUUGGCUGGUCUCACCUCGAGGUCGGAGGGGGGUCGGUGACGGGGACAACGGCGCGGAUGAUGGAGGGGGCUCCUAGAUUUCUGCAUAGUGCUCUCCAAUUUUAGCAUUCAAAGUAGGAGUACUUUUCCAAUUUGAGCAUUCAAUAAGCAAAACCAAAUCGUAAAAUAAAGAGUAUUCAAAUUAGCAUGCAUUCAAUUAUAAGCAAAAGUACAUUAUCUCUUGUGUCCGUACAUCGUCGAAUAUUAUCACUAAUAAUACUCCUCGAAUACUAACAUACAUAUAGCAUCGCUAAUACAGCUAGAACCAUAGCGCCCGACAGGUAUCCUCGCGGGCGGUGGACACCCAAAGAGAAGGAACCGUCACAGGAUCAUAGCUUCAGUUAGAUCCCUGAAGAAUCUGCCAGGUAUUGUCGAACCUGCCCUCCAACGCAACCAUGUAGCGACGGACGUGCUCGUCCUCCUCGCUGACACAGUGACGUACCACCUCCACGGUGUCCGGAAGCCUCGACACCGUCACUGGCCCACGCGACCGGCACCAAACAAGGAUCAGGUUAACAACGGGCUGGUUCCUCACCAACCUACGCCCCCCGUAAGGUAGCACCUACCAAUACCAGCCCGGCGGAGCCCAGUCCCGGACAUGACCCCUCUGAUCAAGCCGGCCUCCUCCGCCGAGUCGACGACGAGGAUGCGAGAUAGGCAUCAUCGACGUUGAUGCGUGAUUAAUUGCUUGAACUAAAAAAAUAAACUAGUUCUAUUAAUUUUCUUGCUAAAAAUAAACUACUUCUAUAUAUAGUAAAAUAAAGUAGUUUUAUUAAAUCAACUAGUUCAACUACUAAGCACUUACUAUAAAUAAAUAAAAUAGUACUUACUAAAAAUAAACUACUUCUAUAGUAAAAUAAAAUAGUUUUAUUAAAUCAAUUAGUUCAACUAUAUACUAAGCACUUACUAUAAAUAAAAUAAAGUAGUACUUACAAAAAAUAAACUAGUUUAACUAGUUCUAUUAUUUUUCUAACUAAUUAUAUCAAACACUUUCUCUUCUUGCUUUCCUUUUUGCUCUCCUGUUUUCUUCUAAAUAUGAACAUAUACAUAUAAAUGACUUUGAUCAUACACNNNNNNNNNNNNNNNNNNNNNNNNNNNNNNNNNNNNNNNNNNNNNNNNNNNNNNNNNNNNNNNNNNNNNNNNNNNNNNNNNNNNNNNNNNNNNNNNNNNNNNNNNNNNNNNNNNNNNNNNNNNNNNNNNNNNNNNNNNNNNNNNNNNNNNNNNNNNNNNNNNNNNNNNNNNNNNNNNNNNNNNNNNNNNNNNNNNNNNNNNNNNNNNNNNNNNNNNNNNNNNNNNNNNNNNNNNNNNNNNNNNNNNNNNNNNNNNNNNNNNNNNNNNNNNNNNNNNNNNNNNNNNNNNNNNNNNNNNNNNNNNNNNNNNNNNNNNNNNNNNNNNNNNNNNNNNNNNNNNNNNNNNNNNNNNNNNNNNNNNNNNNNNNNNNNNNNNNNNNNNNNNNNNNNNNNNNNNNNNNNNNNNNNNNNNNNNNNNNNNNNNNNNNNNNNNNNNNNNNNNNNNNNNNNNNNNNNNNNNNNNNNNNNNNNNNNNNNNNNNNNNNNNNNNNNNNNNNGUGGCGACGGGCGACGGCGACGGUGAGGGGCGGAGCGACGAAGGUGAGGGGCGGCGCGACGACGACGGUGACGGUGAGGGGCGGCGCGGCGUCGGGCGACGAGGAGGCAGGGGCCGGCGGCGUCGGGGCACGGGGGCGCGGGGCAGUGACGGCGUCUGGGCAGCGCGGGACGGCAUCGGAGGCAGGGGCGACGACGGCGACGGCGAGGCGCAGAGGGGCAGCCUGGCGGUGUCGUUGGGGCAGGGAAGACGAACUGAAUAAAAUUUUCACAAGUGCUAGUUAUAUAGGCGAAGCAUUGGUCCCGGUUCGUGACAGAAACCGGGACGAAUGCCACCUUUAGUCCCGGUUGGUGCCACAAACCGGGAUCAAAUGCCUCUUUUCUGCAGCCCAAAGGGCGGGAAGCAGAGGGCAUUGGUCCCGGUUGGUGGCACCAACCGGGACCAAAGGGGAGCAUUGGUUCCGGUUGGUGCCACCAACCGAGACUAAAGGCCUUGUGCUGGCGCGAUGCGGUGGGAAAUUUAGUCCCACCUCGCUAGCUGAGAGAGCUGAGCACCUGUUUAUAAGCUGCGUUGCAGCUCAGGUGCUGAGCUCCUCUCUAAUAUGCACGCAUUACUUGCCUACCCUUGUCACUGCCAUGUUGGGCCUAUUGGGCAUGCGGGCCUGCAUACUGGCCCAUGUACAGAUGAGUUUCUAGUCGUAUGCAGGCCGUGUGGCCCAUUAGGCGGCAUUUUUUUUAUUUUUUCCAGUAUUUUAUUUGUUUUUUGAAUUAUUUAUUUUCUUUUGAUUUUUGUUUUAUUUUUUUAUUCUUUUUGCUUUUAGCUCAGAAUAAUUAUAAACUUUCUGUUACUCCAUUAGUUUCCAAAUUUGAAUAGUUUAAAUUUUGUUAUUUUAGUUUCUAUCAAAAAAAUUGUUUAUGAAAAUUGUUUUUGUUACUAAAGUUUCUAACAAAAAAUUCUUUAUGAUAAUUCUUUCUGCUUUUCAUGUUUUGAACAGAAAAUACUUUGAUAAUUUUAGUUGCAUAAAUUUUAUAUAAUUUUAGUUUAAAAAAUAGUAUAGGUUUAUAAAAGCUUUUUAGUUGAUUCCUUUUGCUAUUAGAGUUUUAUAAACAUUUUUUAGUUGAUUUUAUUUUGCUAUUAAAGAAUAUCAUAGUUUUGUUUUAGUUGAUCAUAAAUGACCCUGAAAUUGAACUCCAGACUUUUUGUGUGUUCAAAAUGCACCAUUCAAAGCCACAUCAUCAAUUUUUUAAUGGAAAACUUGUCUGUUACGACAGGCAUUUCAAAUGAACUACGAAAAGGUUGAAAGUUGGCAUGAUAUCAUCAUAAUAGUUGUGGACAAAGUCUUCACUUUUUCUUCGCUUGUGUCCUUUCUUUAUUGUUCCGUAACCAUGGAUAAUCUUCAUCAUUUAUCAGGAUGCUUGGGUUAGCCUUGACUUUGAAGGGAAGAAUUUCAUGAAACUUUUCAUAAUCUUCGGACAUGUCUGUCUUGCCCUCCACUCCCAAGAUGUCUCUUUUUCCUGAUAGAACUAUGUGGCGCUUUGGCUCAUCGUAUGAUGUAUUCGCCUCCUUAUCUUUUCUUUUUCUCGGUUUGGUAGACAUGUCCUUCACAUAGAUAACCUGUGCCACAUCAUUGACUAGGACGAACGGUUCGUCAGUAUACCCAAGAUUGUUCAGAUCCACUGUUGUCAUUCCGUACUGUGGGUCUACCUGUACCCUGCCUCCUGACAGAUUGACCCAUUUGCACUUAAACAAAGGGACCUUAAAAUCUACUCCGUAGUCAAGUUCCCAUAUGUCCACUAUGUAACCAUAAUAUGUGUCCUUUCCCCUCUCGGUUGCUGCAUCAAAGCGGACACCGCUGUUUUGGUUGGUGCUCUUUUGAUCUUGGGCGAUCGAGUAAAAUGUAUUCCCAUUUAUCCUAUAUCCUUUGUAAAUCAAUACAACGAGUACAACUCAUCACAAACAGUGUUGUCACCUCUGAGACGUGUUUCGAACCAACUGCUGAAAGUCCUGAUGUGUUCACAUGUAAUCGAGUCGUCCCAAUGCUCCGGGUGCUUGGAGCGCAGAUUGUUCUUGUGUUCAUCGACAUACGGGGCCACCAAGGUAGAGUUCUGUAGAACUGUGUAGUGUGCUUGAUGUUGGGGAACAUAGUAAUUUCAAAAAAUUUCCUACGCACACACAAGAUCAUGGUGAUGCAUAGCAACGAGAGGAAAGAGUGUUGUCUACAUACCCUCGUAGACCGAAAGCGGAAGCGUUAGCACAACGCGGUUGAUGUAGUCAUACGUCUUCACGAUCCGACCGAUCAAGUACCGAACGUACGACACCUCUGAGUUCAGCACACGUUCAGCCCGAUGACGUCCCUUGAACUCCGAUCCAGCCGAGUGUUGAGGGAGAGUUUCGUCAGCACGACGACGUGGUGACGAUGAUGAUAUUCUACCGAUGCAGGGCUUCGCCUAAGCACCGCUACAGUAUUAUCGAGGUGGACUAUGGUGGAGGGGGGCACGGCACACGGCUAAAAGAUCAAACAAUCAAUUGUUUUCUCUAUGGGGUGCCCCCUGCCCCCGUAUAUANNNNNNNNNNNNNNNNNNNNNNNNNNNNNNNNNNNNNNNNNNNNNNNNNNNNNNNNNNNNNNNNNNNNNNNNNNNNNNNNNNNNNNNNNNNNNNNNNNNNNNNNNNNNNNNNNNNNNNNNNNNNNNNNNNGCCAAGGGGAGAGGCGCGCCAGGAGGAGUCCUACUCCCACCGGGAGUAGGACUCCCCCCCUUUCCUAGUUGGAUUAGGACUUGGGGGAAAGAGGAGGGAUAGAGGAAGGAAGGGGGGGCGCCGCCCCCUGUUGGGGAACGUAGUAAUUUCAAAAAAUUUCCUACGCACACGCAAGAUCAUGGUGAUGGCAUAGCAACGAGAGGGGAGAGUGUUGUCCACGUACCCUCGUAGACCGUAAGCGGAAGCGUUAGCACAACGCGGUUGAUGUAGUCGUACGUCUUCACGAUCCGACAGAUCCAAGCACCGAGCGUAUGGCACCUCCGAGUUCAGCACACGUUCAGCUCGAUGACGAUCCCCGGGGUCCGAUCCAGCAAAGCUUCGGGGAUGAGUUCCGUCAGCACGACGGCAUGGUGACGAUGAUGAUGUUCUACCGGCGCAGGGCUUCGCCUAAGCUUCGCGACGAUAUGACCGAGGUGGAAUAUGGUGGAGGGGGGCAUCGCACACGGCUAAGGAAUGAUCCGUAGAUCAACUUGUGUGUCUUUGGGGUGCCCCCCCGCCUCCGUAUAUAAAGGAGCCAGGGGGGAGGAGGCGGCCGGCCUAGAGGGCGCGCCAAGGGGGGGAGUCCUACUCCCACCGGGAGUAGGACUCCCUCUUUCCAAGUAGGAGUAGGAGAAGGGGGGGGAGAGGAGGAAGAGGGGAAGGAAAGGGGGGGCGCCGCCCCCCUUCCCUUGUCCUAUUCGGACUAGGAGGGGGAGGGGCAUGCGGCCCCCUCCUUGCUCCUUCCCUCUUCUCCCUCGUGGCCCAUGUAGGCCCAUUAACCCCCCGGGGGGUUCCGGUAACCUCCCGGUACUCCGGUAAAAUGCCGAUUUCACCCGGAACCAUUCCGAUGUCCAAACAUAGGCUUCCAAUAUAUCAAUCUUUAUGUCUCGACCAUUCCGAGACUCCUCGUCAUGUCCGUGAUCACAUCCGGGACUCUGAACAAACUCCGGUACAUCAAAACUUAUAAACUCAUAAUAAAACUGUCAUCGAAAUGUUAAGCGUGCGGACCCUACGGGUUCGAGAACUAUGUAGACAUGACCUAAAACCAUUCUCGGUCAAUAACCAAUAGCGGGACCUGGAUGCCCAUAUUGGUUCCUACAUAUUCUACGAAGAUCUUUAUCGGUCAAACCGCAUAACAACAUACGUUGUUCCCUUUGUCAUCGGUAUGUUACUUGCCCGAGAUUUGAUCGUCGGUAUCCAAUACCUAGUUCAAUCUCGUUACCGGCAAGUCUCUUUACUCGUUCUGUAAUACGUCAUCUCAUAACUAACUUAUUAGUUAUAAUGCUUGCAAGGCUUUAAGUGAUGAGUAUUACCGAGAGGGCCCAGAGAUACCUCUCCGACAAUCGGAGUGACAAAACCUAAUCUCGAAAUACGCCAACCCAACAUGUACCUUCGGAGACACCUGUAGUACUCCUUUAUAAUCACCCAAUUACGUUGUGACGUUUGGUAGCACCCAAAGUGUUCCUCCGGUAAACGGGAGUUGCAUAAUCUCAUAGUUACAGGAACAUGUAUAAGUCAUGAAGAAAGCAAUAGCAACAUACUAAACGAUCAAGUGCUAGGCUAACGGAAUGGGUCAUGUCAAUCGCAUCAUUCUCCUAAUGAUGUGAUCCCGUUAAUCAAAUGACAACUCUUUUGUCCAUGGCUAGGAAACUUAACCAUAUUUGAUUCACGAGCUAGUCAAGUAGAGGCAUACUAGUGACACUAUGUUUGUCUAUGUAUUCACACAUGUAUUAUGUUUCUGGUUAAUACAAUUCUAGCAUGAAUAAUAAACAUUUAUCAUGGAAUAAGGAAAUAAAUAGUAACUUUAUUAUUGCCUCUAGGGCAUAUUUCCUUUAGUCUCCCACUUGCACUAGAGUCAAUAAUCUAGUUCACAUCGCUAUGUGAUUUAACACCAAUAUUCACAUCUGCAUGUGAUUAAUACCCAUAGUUCACAUCAUCAUGUGAUCAACACCCAAAGGGUUUACUAGAGUCAAUAAUCUAGUUCACAUCGCUAUGUGAUUAUCACCCAAAAGAGUACUAAGGUAUGAUCAUGUUUUGCUCGUGAGAGAAGGUUAGUCAACGGGUCUGUCAUAUUCAGAGCCGUAUGUAUUUCGCAAAUAUUCUAUGUCCACAAUGCUCUGCACGGAGCUACUCUAGCUAAUUGCUCCCACUUUUAAUAUGUAUCCAGAUUGAGACUUAGAGUCAUCUGGAUUGGUGUAAAAGUUUGCAUCGUUGUAACUUUUACGACGGGCUCUUUUAUCACCUCCAUAAUCGAGAAACAUCUCCUUAGUCCUCACUAAGGAUAUUCUUGACCCAUGACCAGUGAUCUACUUAUUAGAUCAAAAUUGUAUUCCUUUGCCAAACACAGAGCAAGGUAUACAAUAGGUCUGUUCACAGCAUAGCAUACUUUAUAGAACCUAUGACUGAGGCAUAGGGAAUGACUUUUCAUUCUCUUUCUAUUUUCUGCAAUGGUCGGGUCUUGAGUCUUACUCAACUUCACACCUUGUAACACAGGCAAGAACUCCUUUCUUUGACUGUUCCAUUUUGAACUAUUUCAAAAAUUUAUCAAGGUAUGUACUCAUUGAAAAAUCUUAUCAAGCGUCUAGAUCUAUCUAUAUAGAUCUUGAUGCUCAAUGUGUAAGCAGCUUCACCGAGGUCUUGCUUUGAAAAACUCUUAUUCAAGUAUCGUUUCAUGCUAUCCAGAAUUUCCAUAUCAUUUCCAAUUAACAAUAUGUCAUCCACAUAUAAUAUUAGAAAUGCUACAGAGCUCCCACUCACUUUCUUGUAAAUACAGGCUUCUUCAAAAGUCUGUAUGCUUCUAUGACUAUCGCUACCGCUUAGUGAUAAAGUAAAACAUUACAGGGCGAUUGCAUUGCAUACAAUAAAGAGACAAUCAUAUGGCUCCUACCAGUUGCCGAUAACUCAGUUACAAAACAUGAUCAUCUCAUAGAAUAAAAUUUAGCAUCAUGUCUUGACCAUAUCACAUCACAGCAUGCCCUACAAAAGCAAGUUAGACGUCCUCUACUUUGUUGUUGCAAAUUUUACGUGGCUGCUACGGGCUGAGCAAGAACUGUUCUUACCUGCGCAUCAAAACUACAAUGAUAGUUUGUCAAGUUGGUGCUGUUUUAACCUUCGCAAGGACCGGGCGUAGCCACACUCGGUUCAACUAAAGUGAGAGAGACAGACACCCGCCGGUCGCCUUUAAGCAACUAGUGCUCGUGGCGGUGAAACGAGUCUCGCGUAAGCGUACGCGUAAUGUCGGUCCGGCCCACUUCAUCUCACAAUGCCGCUGAACCAAAGUAUGACAUGCUGGUAAGCAGUAUGACUUAUAUCGCCCACAACUAACUUGUAUUCUACUCAUGCAUAUGACAUCUACGCAUAAAACCUGGCUCGGAUGCCACUGUUGGGGAACGUAGUAAUUUCAAAAAAAUUCCUACGCACAGACAAGAUCAUGGUGAUGCAUAGCAACAAGAGGGGAGAGUGUUUUCUACGUACCCUCGUAGACCAAAAGCGGAAGCUUUAACACAACGCGGUUGAUGUAGUCGUACGUCUUCACGAUCCGACCGAUCAAGUACCGAACGUACGACACCUCCGAGUUCAGCACACGUUCAGCCCGAUGACGUCCCUCGAACUCCGAUCCAGCCGAGUGUUGAGGGAGAGUUCCGUCAGCACGAUGGCGUGGUGAGGAUGAUGAUGUUCUACCGACGCAGGGCUUCGCCUAAGCACCACUAUAGUAUUAUCGAGGUGGACUAUGGUGGAGGGGGGCACCGCACAUGGCUAAAAGAUCAAACGAUCAAUUGUUUUCUCUAUGGGGUGCCCCCUGCCCCCAUAUAUAAAGGAGCAAGGGGGGUGCGACCGGCCAAGGGGAGAGGCGCGUCGGGAGGAGUCCUACUCCCACCGGGAGUAGGACUCCCCCCUUUCCUCGUUGGAUUAGGACUUGGGGGAAAGAGGAGGGAGAGAGGAAGGAAGGGGGGGGGGGCGCCGCCCCCCUCUCCUUGUCCUAUUCGGACUAGGAGGGAGGGGCGCGCGGCCCAGCCCUGGCCGCCUCUCCUCUUCUUCGUAAAGGCCCACUGAGGCCCAUUAACCUCCCGGGGGGUUCCGGUAACCUCCCGGUAGUCCGGUAAAAUCCCGAUUUCACCCGGAACACUUCCGAUAUCCAAACAUAGGCUUCCAAUAUAUCAAUCUCCAUGUCUCGACCAUUUCGAGACUCCUCGUCAUGUCCGUGAUCACAUCCGGGACUUCGAACAACCUCCGGUACAUCAAAACAUAUAAACUCAUAAUAUAACUGUCAUCAUAACGUUAAGCGUGCGGACCCUACGGGUUCGAGAACUAUGUAGACAUGACCGAGACAUGUCUGCGGUCAAUAACCAAUAGCGGAACCUGGAUGCUCAGAUUGGCUCCCACAUCUUUAUCGGCCAGACCACAUAACAACAUACGUUGUUCCCUUUGUCAUCAGUAUGUUACUUGCCUGAGAUUCGAUCGUCGGUAUCUCAAUACCUAGUUCAAUCUCGUUACUGGCAAGUCUCUUUACUCGUUCCAUAAUACAUCAUCCCGCAACUAACUCAUUAGUUGCAAUGCUUGCAAGGCUUAAGUGAUGUGUAUUACCGAGAGGGCCCAGAGAUACCUCUCCGACAAUCGGAGUGACAAAUCCUAAUCUCGAAAUACGCCAACCCAACAUGUACCUUCGGAGACACCUGUAGAGCACCUUUAUAAUCACCCAGUUAUGUUGUGACAUUUGGUAACACAAAAAGUGUUCCUCCGGUAAACGAGAGUUGCAUAAUCUCAUAGUCAUAGGAACAUGUAUAAGUUAUGAAGAAAGCAACAACAACAUACUAAACAAUCGCGUGCUAAGCUAACGGAAUGGGUCAAGUCAAUCACAUCAUUCUCCUAAUGACGUGAUCCCGUUAAUCAAAUGACAACUCAUGUCUAUGUCUAGGAAACAUAACCAUCUUUGAUCAACGAGCUAGUCAAGUAGAGGCAUACUAGUGACAAUCUGUUUGUCUAUUUAUUCACACAUGUAUUAUGUUUCCGGUUAAUACAAUUCUAGCAUGAAUAAUAAACAUUUAUCAUGAUAUAAGGAAAUAAAUAAUAACUUUAUUAUUGCCUCUAGGGCAUAUUUCCUUCACUUGAGACCAAGAAUAUCCGUCCCUUCCAAGUGUGCCUUUUCCAGUUAGUCUCCCCUCAUACGCGAUUUAGGGAGACCUAUCUUCUUAAGGUCAGGAAUGAAGUCAACACAAAACCCAAUGACAUCCUCUGUUUGAUGGCCCAUGGAGAUGCUUCCUUCUGGCCUAGCGCGGUUACGGACAUAUUUCUUUAGGACUCCCAUGAACCUCUCAGAGGGGUACAUAUUGUGUAGAAAUACGGGGCCCAGAAUGACAAUCUCGUCAACUAGAUGAACUAGGACGUGCGUCAUGAUAUUGAAGAAGGAUGGUGGGAACACUAGCUCGAAACUGACAAGAUGUUGCACCACGUCACUCCUUAGCCUUGGUAUGAUUUCUGGAUCGAUCACCUUCUGAGAGAUUGCAUUGAGGAAUGCACAUAGUUUCACAAUGGCUAAUCAGACAUUUUCCGGUAGAAGCCCCUUCAAUGCAACCAGAAGCAGUUGCAUCAUAAUCACGUGGCAGUCAUAAGACUUUAGGUUCUGGAACUUUUUCUCUGCCAUAUUUAUUAUUCCAUUUAUAUUUGACGAGAAGCCAGUCGGGACCUUCAUACUAAGCAGGCAUUCAAAGAAGAUUUCCUUCUCUUCUUUGGUAAGAGUGUAGCUGGCAGGACCUUCAUACUGCUUUGGAGGCAUGCCGUCUUUUUCGUGCAAACGUUGCAGGUCCUCCCGUGCCUCAGCUGUAUCUUUUGUUUUCCCAUCACGCCCAAGAAGCCUAGCAGGUUCACGCAAAGGUUCUUCGUCACGUGCAUCACGUCGAUCGAAGAGCGGACCUCUAGGUCUUUCCAGUAGGGUAGGUCCCAAAAAAUAGAUUUCUUCUUCCACAUGGGUGCGUGUCCCCCAGCGUCACUCAAAACAGCUAGUCCGCCGGGACCCUUUCCAAAGAUUACGUGUAAAUCAUUGACCAUAGCAAGUACAUGAUCACCGGUAUGCGUGGCGGGCUUCUUUCGGUGAUCUGCCUCACCUUUGAAAUGCUUGCCUUUCUUUCGACAUUGAUGGUUGGUCGGAAGAAAUCGACGAUGGCCCGGGUUCACAUUCUUCCUGCAUUUGUCCAGGUAUAUACUUUGGGUGUCAGCUAACAAUGCGUGCAUGUGUGGUAUCCCUUGUUUGUCUGUCCUGAAAGGUUACUGAGAGCGGGCCAAUCAUUGAUGGUUACAAAAAGCAAUGCGUGCAGGUUAAAUUCCUCCUGUCUGUGCUCAUCCCACGCACGUACACUGUUUCCAUUCCACAGCUGUAAAAGUUCUUCAACUAAUGGCCUUAGGUACACAUCAAUGUCGUUGCCGGGUUUCUUAGGGCCUUGGAUGAGAAUUGGCAUCAUAAUGAACUUCCGCUUCAUGCACAUCCAAGGAGGAAGGUUAUACAUACAUAGAGUCACGGGCCAGGUGCUGUGAUUGCUGCUCUGCUCCCCGAAAGGAUUAAUGCCAUCCACGCUUAAACCAAACCAUAUGUUCCUAGGGUCACGUGUAAACUCAGCCCAGUACUCUCUCUCGAUUUUUCUCCACUGCGACCCGUCAACGGGUGCUCUUAACUUCCCGUCUUUCUUACGGUCCUCACUGUGCCAUCACAUCAACUUGGCAUGCUCUUUGUUUCUGAACAGUCGUUUCAACCGUGGUAUUAUAGGAGCAUACCACAUCACCUUCGCAGGAACUCUCUUCCUGCAGGGCUUGCCGUCAACAUCACCAGGGUCAUCUCGUAUGAUCUUAUACCGCAAUGCACCGCAUACCGGACAUGCGUUCAAAUCCUUGUACGCACCGCGGUAGAGGAUGCAGUCAUUAGGGCAUGCAUGUAUCUUCUGCACCUCCAAUCCUAGAGGCAUGCGACCUUCUUUGCUGCAUACGUACUAUCGGGCAAUUCGUUAUCCUUUGGAAGCUUCUUCUUCAAUAUUUUCAGUAGCUUCUCAAAUCCUUUGUCAGGCACAACAUUCUCUGCCUUCCAUUGUAGUAAUUUCAGUACGGUACCCAGCUUUGUGUUGCCAUCUUCGUAAUUGGGGUACAACCCUUUUUUGCGAUCGUCUAACAUGCGAUCGAACUUCAGCUUCUCCUUUUGACUUCCGCAUUGCGUCUUUGCAUCGACAAUGACCCGGCGGAGAUCAUCAUUAUCGGGCACAUCGUCUGGUUCCUCUUGAUCUUCAGUAGCUUCCCCCGUUGCAGCAUCAUCGGGCACAUCGGCUGGUUCCUCUUGAUCUUCAGCAGCUCCCCCCGUUGCAGCAUCACCGUAUUCAGGGGGCAUACAGUUGUCAUCAUCCUCUUCUUCUUCGCCGUCUUCCAUCAUAACCCCUAUUUCUCCGUGCCUCGUCCAAACAUUAUAGUGUGGCAUGAAACCCUUGUAAAGCAGGUGGGUGUGAAGGAUUUUCCGGUCAGAGUAAGACUUCGUAUUCCCGCAUUUAGGGCAUGGACAACACAUAAAACCAUUAUGCUUGUUUGCCUCAGCCACUUCGAGAAAAUUAUGCACGCCCUUAAUGUACUCGGAGGUGUGUCUGUCACCAUACAUCCAUUGCCGGUUCAUCUGCGUGCAUUAUAUGUAAUUAUGUGUGUCAAAAGUAAGAAAAUCAGACAAAUAUCUAUCUAAAGUAAGAAAAUCAGACAAGUAUCUAUCUAAAGUAAGAAAAUCAGAAAGAAGAUAAGAACAAGAGGCUCACCACGGUGGUGCCGGCGACGAGAUCGGCUCAGGCGAUCAACGGCGGUGAAAACGGGGACGGGGCGUGACGGACCGCUAAAUCUAGACAAAUCUCGGGGAAAAUGGAGCUCCGAGGUCGAGCUUCGAGAGGAGAAAGCUUAACUAGUGUGGCUCGGGCAUUUCAUCGAACACCUCAUGUGCAUAGGAUGUGAGCUAGAGCACCCAAAUGCCCUCCCCUCGCCGGCCAGAAAAAACGGAGUGCUCUGCCACGGCGAUGGGUAUAUAUAGGCAAAUUAUUUGUCCCGGUUCGUGGCAUAAAUCGGGACUAAAGCCCCCCCCCUUCUAUACCGGUUUAAGGCACGAACCGGUACCAAUGGAUGUGAGCCAGGAGCUCGGCCCAUUGGUCCCGGUUCGUGCCUAGAACCGGGUCAAAUGGGUCCACACGAACCGGGACCAAUACCAACGAGGCCCCGGCCGCCCCCCUGGGCCCAUGAACCGGGUCUAAUGCCCCCCAUGGGUCCCGGUUCGUAAAGAAUCGGGAUUAAUGGGUUGGCCAGGCCCGAACCAAAGCCAUGUUUUCUACUAGUGGUACUCCGUUCCUAACCGCACUCUGACGUGGUAACUUUCAAAAAUUCCUAGCGUGUGAAGUACGCGACAACAGUGAACACUAUUAGCCAGUACUCGGUAAUACCGAUCCGGCAGUCGAUCGCUAGUUUUGCUUGUUGGAAGCCCGAUCGGGGUACUUCCACGGCGAGAUGGCGUGGGUUUACGCAUCGGGAAAGAUAAGCCAUGCCACGGACUUUUUAUACACGCCACAUCGUCUGUGCACAAGACUCACCCUGCCAGAUUUUCAAUAAACAAAUGAUUAUGAUUAUAUAUUUUUGUGUUCUUCAUUAUUGAAGUAUUUAGGUUGCACCAAACUAAUGGAAUAUAUGCAUGCACUAGUAAAAAAAAAAUCAGAAACACUAACGCCACACUUGUGGGCGUUCCCCAACUCGCCCACACGGCUGGAUCGUCGUUCACUAUCUUUUGCACGAAUCUUGAGAGGAAGGGUGGAUUCGGUGUGCCACGUAGGACAGGGUUGGUGUAUGGGCGUUGGAGAGUUUGCCCACACGCUCGCACCAUGCUGUUUGCCAGCUGCGCUGUAUGGGCGAACUAGUUUCUGCCAACACAGUCAGCUACCUACUUCAUGCGCGUGUGGGCGAACUGCUUUUCGCUCACACGACACUCCUAAGUUGUGGAUGGAAACUGCAGUUAGGCGAACGUGGCAACUAGGUAAACACACAUGGCAACUGUGAUGUUUUUGCUAGAUGGUAACUGCAGUUGCGCGUACGUGGCAACCAGAUAAGCACACAUGGCAACCGUGAUUAAUAAUACAUGGCAACUAUGGUUGGACUACACGUGACAACUAGGUAAACACACAUGGCAACUACUAUUUGACCAUAUGUGACAAGUAGUUAAUCACACAGGGCAACUGCGGUUUGAUUAUACGCGGCAACUACCAUAAAUUAGACAUGGCAAUUAUAGUUAACCAAAAUAGAUAGAGUUGCCAUGCUUUUACAACUACACUUGCCAUCCCGGAUAACUACAUCUGCCAAUUAGUAUGGCAACUAAAUCGUCAUCCCGCAGUGUACCUAACGUAGCUGUGCCAGAACGUGUGGGCAUUUUUGCUUCGUGCCACACGCGCGGGGUGGAGAUGAGUAGUACUUGUUGGCGUUUGGCACGAAGUAGCCGCGCCCACACGUGUGGGCAAUUCUAAUGUCCGCCCACACACAGCCCGUGUGGGCUGCCUCCUGCUCACAUCACACACGGUGUGUGGACGCAUGUCGAAUAUACUGGUUCNNNNNNNNNNNNNNNNNNNNNNNNNNNNNNNNNNNNNNNNNNNNNNNNNNNNNNNNNNNNNNNNNNNNNNNNNNNNNNNNNNNNNNNNNNNNNNNNNNNNNNNNNNNNNNNNNNNNNNNNNNNNNNNNNNNNNNNNNNNNNNNNNNNNNNNNNNNNNNNNNNNNNNNNNNNNNNNNNNNNNNNNNNNNNNNNNNNNNNNNNNNNNNNNNNNNNNNNNNNNNNNNNNNNNNNNNNNNNNNNNNNNNNNNNNNNNNNNNUUUCUUUUCAUGCUAUAUACUCCCUUCGUCUCAAAAUUCUUGUCUUAGAUUUGUCUAAGUACGGAUGUAUCAAGUAUACAUCCGUACUUAGACAAAUCUAAAACAAGAAUUUUGAAACGGAGGGAGUAUGUUUUUUAUUUUCCUGAUUAUGCCUAGCUACACAUUGAAGUGAAUUGUGGUUGCAUUUUCUCAAUAUGUGCAAAGACCCACUUAUGUAAAAUAUGUGUUGUUUGGUAUGAUGUUAGAUAUAUUGGUACCGGACAGAGUCGCCGGAAUUCCACAUCCGCCGUUGUGGGACGGGCAGGUGAGUGGCAGCGGGGCACUAAAGGCACUGUGCAUAGAUGAUUGUCGCUGGCGGUGAGUCUACCAGGGGCCGCCGAAAGAGGGGCAUCGGCGACGACAUGCGUUGGGGUUUCUUGGACUGAGGUAGCCUAAGUGGGUGGUUCGCUUCUCGAUUUUGAGCCGAGGGAUCCACAUAGUAGUGCUUGCUAUAUGUAAAGGGGAGGGAAGAGAGAUGCCAGCGACACACAAUUGGCUAUGCUGCUUGGGUUACGUAGGCUGGCCGCGGGCAUCUCUGGUGUCAGUCACCGACCCUGUAGGCAGAUGAUGGCUACGAGCCUACGACCCCCGCUAGGAGGAGGGUUUUCCUUUUUUUGACAUAUGGAGGAGGGUUUCCUUUGCCUAUGCUUGUAAAUAAGUAGUGUAAUACAGUCAUCAAUAAAUCCUAUUUUAAAAAUACUCUUCAGUGUUUGUUUUUAUUUUUGGUGUAGUACUUUUUAGUAUGUAGUUGAUUGUUUUGUACUCCCUCCGUUCGGAAUUACUUGUCUCGAAAAUGGAUGUAUCUAGAACUAAAAUACAUCUAGAUACAUCCAUUUUGGCGACAAGUAAUUCCGAAUGGAGGGAGUACAAUUAAGUUGCACUUUUUUCGCUACGUAAUUUUUAGCAAAAGUGUAAUGGGCUAUUUUUGUUUAUAGAGGAGUACCUACGGAUUUUCUAUUACCCUAUGAUCUGGUCUUACAGAUUGGACGAUAGCGGCACUGCGGUGUCGUUUCUCUCUUGGGAGCAUCGUUUGUGGAAUAGCGCUGGAAGACAGAGGCAGGAGGUGGAGCGGCGUUACAUCUUCCGCAUCGACGACGGCGGGUCUCGGCAGCGUGGCGCAGUGGAGUCUUAUCGUCCGAUGCGUGUAGAUGGACUCGCGCAGGAGGAUGACGAUGUCUGGUGCCGUGGGGGCGUCAACGGCAAGCCUGGCAAGGUCGAUGCAUCAAUACCUGUUUUGAAGAUGGAUCGGUGGAAGACGGCGGCGAUAACCUAUGAGAGUGCGUCGGACCAGUGUGUACCCCAUACCUAAUGUGCAGCGGUUGGGGCAUUCGGCUUUAGAUGUUAGGCUUAGGUGUGAGGUCUGGGUAUUCAAUUCACACUAUCUGCACCCCUUUAUCAAGUGGAUAGGAGUAGCGACAGAUGUUGCCAAGAUGACAGCUUCAGACAUAUUGAUAUAUAAUUUUGUGAAUAAUUAAUAAAAUGAAUGUAUGCAUCGCCCAGAUGGAUGCAGAGGCCGGGGGUCAACCUCCUUUUAAAAAAAAACUAGUCUUUUAUUCAAGUCAGAACUAUGUUUUGUUUUGGUUUUCAGAAAUAAUACGCUACUAAUACCCAAUUUCAUUCACAACUGAAUUUGAACUGAAGCUAGCCUACCUAAAAGCCCACAUCCACCCAAAACUUAUAAAUACAACCAAAAAUCUAAAGUGGCCGUAGGAUCAAGUUUUUCUCAGUUGACGCCGUAGAUACCCCAAAAACAAAACCAAAACAUACUGUCACUUAUCGUAUAUAUACCGAAAUGUAAUACUCCCUCCGUCCCUAAAUAUUUGUCUUUCUAUGGAUUUCGAUAAGUGACUACAUAUAAAGCAAAAUGAGUGAAUCUACACUCCAAAAUAUGUCUAUAUAAACCCAUAUGUGGUAACCAUUUGAAAUCCCAAAAGACAAAUAUUUAGAAACGAAGGGAGUAUUUUUUUGGUUUUGCUUAGGUAUAAAAAAACGCGUGCGAACGGCUAAUCAGGUGUGACGGAUUACGUGCUCCGAAUUGGAUUAAGCAGUUAGGAGUGGUGGCCGAUUCAGUAGUCGAUCGACUGCCUGAUCGAUCCGUGACGAAUCAGCGAGCAGAUCGUGCAAAUCAAAUCAAAGGGUUACCCCUCCUGCUGUCUGUCAGUAGUCGUCAGGCUCAGUCUGACCACAGCAGCACGAUCGAGCCUUUAAUUCGAUCUCCGUCUGUCUACAAGUUGGCCAGCAUCUCGACGGCCAUUGAUUAAGCAAUUACUAGGAGUAGAAAAAUCCGUCGUCCUCUGCAACCCCUCCCUGGAAACGUAGUAAAAAAGAAUGGAACCUUCUCAUCAAAUUUUUACUCGGCUUGCACGUACUUUCAGCAGUCAACGUGAAUGGCUAGCUGGCUAGUGGAUAUGUUAGAGUUGUGUCGAAUAUUAUUGUACAAGUUAGGUUACAGUUGGACUUGGAGUCGUACUGUGUGUAGACAGGAUAGGAGUUGUGUCCUAAUAGGACACUUAUAUCCUAAACCUCUCAUAUAUAGCGGGGGUAGACACACGAUGUAACCUAUGCUAACAUAAUAGCACAAUCACGCAGGGGGAGCCGGCUGCGUGUGCCGGUGCCCGGGCGGCCAGGGUGCGGUAUUGUGACGGUGUCAUGGGGAGGAGCGCCCAUAGUCAGGCCCCGAGGAUGUAGCCAUAUCGGUGAACCUCGUUAACAAAUCUUGGUGUCAUCCUCGUGUGAUUCCUUGGUCCUCGGUAGAUCGACGGAGCGCCUCGGAUUUAUUCUAACAAGUGGUAUCAGAACAAGGUUCGAGGAGGUCGCAGAUUGUUGUUCUACAGGAUGAAGAAGCUUAUCAAAAACGGCAGAAGACGUGUCGGUCAGAUCAUGUUGGGACGGCGGCAACAGCAGGUGCAGGCGCGUCAUGCGACGAGGCGUGGGCGAUCCCGAGGCGAGGCCGCGGGGUACUAGCAUGAUUGGAUCAGCAAUCGAAAGGCAGCGGUAGCAUGCAACGUAGCCUACAGCGGCGACGGGAUUCGGAUCGGAUCGUGUUCAUGAGAUCGAAUCGAAGACGAGGCAACAGCGUGGCUAGUCGGGGCACUGGUCAGGGCGCGCGUCAGGCCCGUGAGGGACGAAGCCCAGGGGAGGCCGACGCAAGAGUGGCUAGUCGGGGCAUUGGCCAGGUAGGCACGGAGGAGCGGUGCAGCAGUGCAUUGGUCACGAGAGGCUGGAUGAACUUUGUGCAUGCGAGGCAUUGUGUCAUUGCUGCUACAGGAGGUUGUACAGGAGCUGAGAUUUGUUAAGGAAAAAAAGAGCGCCACGAGCCAACACGUUGUAAUCAGGAGCAGGAGAGUAAAGGAAUAAAGUCUAAGCUUGGUGUGGUGUACGUCAAGAUGGUUUGCAUGGACACAGGAAAAGCUAAGCUACGUGGGAUUUUAUAUUGGCUCUUUUGCUUGGUACUUGGUCAUGUAUGGAGAUGGCAGCGUGUAGGUAUUGUUUCGGCUGUGACCGGAUAGUAAUCAGUAGGCCGCAGUAGGAGCAGAGUUAUCGGCGAGAUUUCCAAGUCGCUGCCGGAGCGGCGAUGGCGCAACGUGCAAGCAGCGGAGUCUUCAGGAGAUCGAUCGAACUACAUCGGUUUGUCAGAGGCAGCAGGCCGAGCAAGCUGCGGGGACGCGCGAGCCAAGCGAGGCCCAAGUGCGGGCAACUCGCACUGAAGGGCAGGUGGCUUGGUAAAGCACGUGUCUGCUAGAGAGAAGCGCGUGUGCCGGUGUGCGGCAGCCAGGCAAGCGGAUGCGGUCUGUGAUGUGGCACUUGGCAGAGGCUGUUUGGUACGUGGCCGGCUCAAGAAGUUACCGAUUGAUGCUGCUGGUGUGCGUACAUGGCUGAGAUGACACGAGAUUUGUUUGGGAAAAAAGGGGCGUCAGAGAACACCAUGAUGCGUGCAUUGAUCAGCAGGAAAUAUAGUAAAUCAAGUCUACAGUAGCCAGGUGUGGUAGACAUGGAAUUCUUUACACAGAGAAGGCUACAAGGGAUGUUGUUUUGACUUUCUUUGCUUUGUACAUGGAUUGUACGUGAUGGCAGCAUGAAGGUGUGUCGAGACGCGGCGUUACAUGUUUAUAUAAGAUCAACAAGAGUUGGCGGGUGGAUAGCACGGUUAUUUUUUGGUCCGAUGGCUACAUGUUUUCUCAAAUGUUGCAUCAAGGAUGUGAUCUGUUGGUGCGAAGGAUUGCUUGAUUGUGUAGCAGAACGCCAAGUUGAUGAAGAUGGAUGUGCGCGACGAGGAUGGCGACGUGCGUAUAAGGCUCCAAGGAGUCUGGAGCAUGUUGUGACAGGAUCAUGCAAACACAGGGCGUCAAGCAAUGCACGAGAUGUGCGGGGCGGACACGACGCAGGGUGAAGCAUGAUUGCAGUUGGAUAAUUUCGGCUGGGUCGGACUGGACGGUCUGAUGGACCGACAUGGAUGUUGGUCAAAGCAGAAGACGGCGGUGAUUUCAGCGACGACGACAUAGGAGCGUGAUGCUAAUGGUGGCCGACUUCUGGGGCAUGGCAACACGUGGUGAAUGUCUGAGGACUUGUGCGGCUUCGACGGACUAUGACGCAGGGUUGAUUCAAGGCAGUGUAGACAUAAGAGCUUGAAGUCAACAGGGCGCGGGGGUGGCAUGUACAACCACCAUGGAGUCAUGUUGAAGGUGGAGCUGGAGUCUAAUGGAUGACUUUACUCUGUGCUGAUGGAGGGGCUACGGCGUAAAUGCAUGGAGAGUCGAAGCCUAUUUCAGCGGGAUAGCGAGAGACACGUGGAUCGGACUGGGGCCCAAUUGUCUGAUGAAGACGUGAUACUCGGCAUCGGUCGAUAAUGAUCGGUGGUUCUCUGCACUGGGGGUUGAGGCAGUGGGGGCUAGCUACCCGGGAGACUCGACCAGGACAGCAGAGGCUCGACGCGGUGAUAGCGGCGAGGCGUGCGGUAAGCACGGGACACAGCGACAGGCCAAGGUAUUGAUGGUCAGACAUGUGGUCAGACAAACUGUGCAGGGGGUGCUGAAGCAGUGUUGAUGAGUACCAGAUUCAAGUUCGUGACUGGGUCUAUCGGUGCUAGUUGAUGGACAGGAGUUGACCAUGAAGAAUCUGAGAAAGGGGCGGAAAGUCUGAAAUUGUCAAAGGCUGAGAGAGUACAUGGUCGUAUAUUCUGUGGUGUUCUGUGCACAUGGCAAAGUGCGGAUGACAAAUACAGAAGGAGGCGGAGUGCUGUAGCUGUGGGACAUGCCAGAGACUAUCCGGAAAAGGGGUGAGACAACUGUGAAUUUGACUCAGGGUGACACAGGACGACGGUGAAAUUCCUUCAAGUUUCAGACAAGCAGUCAAGAAAGAGCGGUGACGUUGAGUUCAGGUAACUCUUAUAUGUGGCGUCCAAUAUGUGAAUUGUUCAUUUUCAAGCAGACAGUGGUCGGUGUGUGAUGGCGUUGAACGGAUUCUCCGGAAGUUGGAAGCACAAGGUAGAGUAAUGAGGAACUUAAUUUUGCUCGAGUGUUGAUUGUGAAGAAGACAAGAAGGGACUACAGUUGCAGGUGGAGUCACAUGGAGUCUGGGAGUAGCAGCGGUGCUCAUGGCGUAUCUCAAGUCCAAUGUACAUGGGGGUUCGAUGCACGGACGAAUUCAAGAUGGUGGAGAAUAUUCACCAAGGUGGAGUUUGUUAGAGUUGUGUCGAAUAUUAUUGUACAAGUUAGGUUACAGUUGGAGUUGGAGUCGUACUGUGUGUAGACAGGGUAGGAGUUAUGUCCUAAUAGGACACUUAUAUCCUAGACCUCUCAUAUAUAGCGGGGGUAGACACACGAUGUAACCUAUGCCAACAUAAUAGCACAUGCACGCGGGGUGAGCCGGCGGCGUGUGCCGGUGCCCGGGCGGCCAGGGUGCGGUAUUGUGACGGUGUCAUGGGGAGGAGCGCCCAUAGUCAGUCCCCGGGGAUGUAGCCAUAUCGGUGAACCUCGUUAACAAAUCUUGGUGUCAUCCUCGUGUGAUUGCUUGGUCCUCGGUAGAUCGACGGAGCGCCUCGGAUUUAUUCUAACAAGUGAUAUCAGAGCAAGAUUUGAGGAGGUCACAGAUUGUUGUUCUAGAGGAUGAAGAAGCUUAUCGAAAAUGGCAAAAGACGUGUUGGUCAGAUCAUGUUGGGACGGCGGCAAUAGCGGGUGCAGGCGCAUCAUGCGACGAGUCGCGGGCGAUCCCGAGGCGAGGCCGCGGGGUACUAGCGUGAUUGGAUCAGCAACCGAAAGGCAGCAGUAGCAUGCAACGUAGCCUACAGCGGCGACGGGAUUCGGAUCGGAUCGUGUUCACGAGAUCGAAUCGAAGACGAGGCAGUAGCGUGGCUAUUCGGGGCACUGGUCAGGGCACGCGUCAGGCCCGUGAGGGACAAAGCCCAGGGGAGGCCGACGCAAGCGUGGCUAGUCGGGGCAUUGGCCAGGUAGGCACGGAGGAGCCGUGCAGCAGUGCAUUGGUCGCACGAGGCUGGAUGAACUUUGUGCAUGCGAGGCAUUGUGUCAUUGCUGCUACAGGAGGUUGUACAUGAGCUGAGAUUUGUUAAGGAAAAAAAGAGCGCCACGAGCCAACAUGUUGCAAUCUGGAGCAGGAGAGUAAAGGAAUAAAGUCUAAGCUUGGUGUGGUGUACGUCAAGAUGGUUUGCAUGGACACAGGAAAAGCUAAGCUACAUGGGAUUUUAUAUUGGCUCUUUUGCUUGGUACAUGGUCAUGUAUGGAGAUGGAGCGUGUAGGUAUUGUUUCGGCUGUGACCGGAUAGUAAUCAGUAGGGCGCAGCAGGAGCAGAGUUAUCGGCGAGAUUUCCAAGUCGCGGUCGGAGCGGCGAUGGCGCAACGUGCAAGCAGCGGAGUCUUCAGGAGAUCGAUCGAACUACAUCGGUUUGUCAGAGGCAGCAGGCCGAGCAAGCUGCGGGGACGCGCGGGCCAAGCGAGGCCCAAGUGCGGGCGACUCGCACUGAAGGGCAGGUGGCUUGGUAAGGCACGCGUCUACUAGAGAGAAGCGCGUGUGCCGGUGUGCGGCAGCCAGGCAAGCGGAUGCGGUCUGUGAUGUGGCACUUGGCGGAGGCUGUUUGGUACGUGGCCGGCUCCAGAAGUUGCCGAUUGAUGCUGCUGGUGUGCGUACAUGGCUGAGAUGACACGGGAUUUGUUUGGGAAAAAAGGGACGUCAGAGAACACCAUGAUGCGUGCAUCGAUGAGCAGGAAAUAUAGUAAAUCAAGUCUACAGUACCAGGUGUGGUAGACAUGGAAUUCUUUACACGGAGAAGGCUACAAGGGAUGUUGUUUUGACUUUCUUUGCUUUGUACAUGGGUUGUACGUGAUGGCAGCAUGAAGGUGUGUCGAGACGCGGCGUUACAUGUUCAUAUAAGAUCAACAAGAGUUGGCGGGUGGAUAGCACGGUUAUUUUUUGGUCUGAUGGCUACAUGUUUUCUCAGAUGUUGCAUCAAGGAUGUGAUCUGUUGGUGCGAAGGAUUGCUUGAUUGUGUAGCGGAACGCCAAGUUUAUGAAGAUGGAUGUGCGCGACGAGGAUGGCGACGUGCGUAUAAGGCUCGAAGGAGUCUGGAGCAUGUUGUGACAGGAUCAUGCAAACACAGGGCAUCAAGCAAUGCACGAGAUGUGCGGGGCGGACACGACGCAGGGUGAAGCAUGAUUGCAGUCGGAUAAUUUCGGCUGGGUCGGACUGGACGAUCUGAUGGACCGACAUGGAUGUUGGUCAAAGCAGAAGACGGCGGUGAUUUCAGCGACGACGACACAGGAGCGUGAUGCUGAUGGUGGCCGACUUCUGGGGCGUGGAAACACGUGGUGCAUGUCUGAGGACUUGUGCGGCUUCAACGGACUAUGACGCAGGGUUGAUUCAAGGCAGUGUACACAUAAGAGCUUGAAGUCAACAGGGCGCAGGGGUGGCAUGUACAACCACCAUGGAGUCAUGUUGAAGGUGGAGCUGGAGUCUAAUGGAUGACUUCACUCUGUGCUGAUGGAGGGGUUACGGCGUAAAUGCAUGGAGAGUCGAAGCCUAUUUCAGCGGGAUAGCGAGAGACACGUGGAUCAGACUGGGGCCCAAUUGUCUGAUGAAGACGUGAUACUCGGCAUCAGUCGGUAAUGAUCAGUGGUUCUUUGCAGUGGGGGUUGAGGAAGUGGGGGCUAGCUACCCGUGAGACUCGACCAGGACAGCAGAGGCUCGACGCGGUGAUAGCGGCGAGGCGUGCGGUAAGCACGGGACACAGCGACAGGCCAAUGCACUGAUGGUCAGACAUGUGGUCAGACAAACUGUGCAGGGGGUGCUGAAGCAGUGUUGAUGAGUACCAGAUUCAAGUUGGUGACUGGGUCUAUCGGUGCUAGUUGAUGGACAUGAGUUGACCAUGAAGAAUCUGAAAGUGGCGGAAAGUCUGAAAUUGUCAAAGGCUGAGAGAGUACAUGGCCGUAUAUUCUGUGGUGUUCAGUGCACAUGGCAAAGUGCGGAUGACAAAUACAGAAGGAGGCGGAGUGCUGUAGCUAUGGGACAUGCCAGAGACUAUCCGGAAAAGGGGUGAGACAACUGUGAAUUUGACUCAGGGUGACACAGGGCGACGGUGAAAUUCCUUCAAGUUUCAGACAAGCAGUCAAGAAAGAGCGGUGACGUUGAGUUCAGGUAACUCUUAUAUGUGGCGUCCAAUAUGUGAAUUAUUCAUUUUCAUGCAGACAGUGGUCGGUGUGUGAUGGCGUUGAACGGAUUCUCCGAAAGUUGGAAGCACAAGGUAGAGUAAUGAGGAACUUAAUUUUGCUCGAGUGUUGAUUGUGAAGAAGACAAGAAGGGACUACAGUUGCAGGUGGAGUCACAUGGAGUCUGGGAGUAGCAGCGGUGCUCAUGGCGUAUCUAAAGUCCAAUGUACAUGGGGGUUCGAUGCACGGACGAAUUCAAGAUGGUGGAGAAUAUUCGCCAAGGUGGAGUUUGUUAGAGUUGUGUCGAAUAUUAUUGUACAAGUUAGGUUACAGUUGGACUUGGAGUCGUACUGUGUGUAGACAGGGUAGGAGUUGUGUCCUAAUAGGACACUUAUAUCUUAGACCUCUCAUAUAUAGCGGGGGUAGACACACGAUGUAACCUAUGCCAACAUAAUAGCACAGGCACGCGGGGGGAGCCGGCGGCGUGUGCCGGUGCCCGGGCGGCCAGGGUGCGGUAUUGUGACGGUGUCAUGGGGAGGAGCGCCCAUAGUCAAGCCCCGGGGAUGUAGCCAUAUCGGUGAACCUCGUUAACAAAUCUUGGUGUCAUCCUCGUGUGAUUGCUUGGUCCUCGGUAGAUCGACGGAGCGCCUCGGAUUUAUUCUAACAAGUGGUAUCAGAGCAAGGUUUGAGGAGGUCGCAGAUUGUUGUUCUAGAGGAUGAAGAAGCUUAUCGAAAACGGCAGAAGACGUGUCGGUCAGAUCAUGUUGGGACAGCGGCAACAGCGGGUGCAGGCGCAUCAUGCGACGAGGCGCGGGCGACCACGAGGCGAGGCCGCGGGGUACUAGCAUGAUAGGAUCAGCAACCAAAAGGCAGCAGUAGCAUGCAACGUAGCCUACAGCGGCGACGGGAUUCGGAUCAGAUCGUGUUCACGAGAUCGAAUCGAAGAUGAGGCAGCAACGUGGCUAGUCGGGGCACUGGUUAGGGCGCGUGUCAGGCCCGUGAGGGACGAAGCCCAGGGAAGGCCGACACAAGCGUGGCUAGUCGGGGCAUUGGCCAGGUAGGCACGGAGGAGCCAUGCAGCAGUGCAUUGGUCGCACGAGGCUGGAUGAACUUUGUGCAUGCGAGGUAUUGUGUCAUUGCUGCUACAGAUGGUUGUACAGGAGCUGAGAUUUGUUAAGGAAAAAAAGAGCGCCACGAGCCAACACAUUGCAAUCAGGAGCAGGAGAGUGAAUGAAUAAAGUCUAAGCUUGGAGUGGGUUACGUCAAGAUGGUUUGCAUGGACACAGGUAAAGCUAAGCUACGUGGGAUUUUAUAUUGGCUCUUUUGCUUGUUACAUGGUCAUGUAUGGAGAUGGCAGCGUGUAGGUAUUGUUUCGGCUGUGACCGGAUAGUAAUCAGUAGGCCGCAGCAGGAGCAGAGUUAUCGGCGAGAUUUCCAAGUCGCUGUCGAAGCGCGAUGGCGUAACGUGCAAGCAGCGGAGUCUUCAGGAGAUCGAUCGAACUACAUCGGUUUGUCAGAGGCAGCAGGCCGAGCAAGCUGUGGGGACGCGCGGGCCAAGUGAGGCCCAAGUGCGGGCGACUCACACUGAAGGGCAAGUGGCUUGGUAAAGCACACGUUUGCUAGAGAGAAGCGCGUGUGCCGGUGUGCGGCAGCCAGGCAAGCGGAUGCGGUCUGUGAUGUGGCACUUGGUGGAGGCUGUUUAGUACGUGGCCGGCUCAAGAAGUUGCCAAUUGAUGCUGCUGGUGUGUGUACAUGGCUGAGAUGACACGAGAUUUGUUUGGGAAAAAAGGGGCGUCAGAGAACACCAUGAUGCGUGCAUUGAUGAGCAGGAAAUAUAGUAAAUCAAGUCUACAGUAGCCAGGUGUGGUAGACAUGGAAUUCUUUACACGGAGAAGGCUACAAGGGAUGUUGUUUUGACUUUCUUUGCUUUGUACAUGGGUUGUACGUGAUGGCAGCAUGAAGGUGUGUCGAGACGCGGCGUUACAUGUUCAUAUAAGAUCAACAAGAGUUGGUGGGUGGAUAGCACGGUUAUUUUUUGGUCCGAUGGCUACAUGUUUUCUCAGAUGUUGCAUCAAGGAUGUGAUUUGUUGGUGCGAAGGAUUGCUUGAUUGUGUAGCGGAACGCCAAGUUUAUGAAGAUGGAUGUGCGCGACGAGGAUGGCCACGUGCGUAUAAGGCUCGAAGGAGUCUGGAGCAUGUUGUGACAGGAUCAUGCAAACACAGGGCGUCAAGCAAUGCAUGAGAUGUGCGGGGCGGACACGACGCAGGGUGAAGCAUGAUUGCAGUUGGAUAAUUUCGGCUGGGUCGGACUGGACGGUCUGAUGGACCGACAUGGAUGUUGGUCAAAGCAGAAGACGACAGUGAUUUCAGCGACGACGACACAGGAGCGUGAUGCUGAUGGUGGCCGACUUCUGGGGCGUGGAAACACGUGGUACAUGUCUGAGGACUUGUGCGGCUUCGACGGACUAUGACGCAGGGUUGAUUCAAGGCAGUGUACACAUAAGAGCUUGAAGUCAACAGGGCGCAGGGGUGGCAUGUACAACCACCAUGGAGUCAUGUUGAAGGUGGAGCUGGAGUCUAAUGGAUGACUUCACUCUCUGCCGAUGGAGGGGUUACGGCGUAAAUGCAUGGAGAGUCGAAGCCUAUUUCAGCGGGAUAGCGAGGGACACGUGGAUCGGACUGGGGCCCAAUUGUCUGAUGAAGACGUGAUACUCGGCAUCGGUCGGUAAUGAUCGGUGGUUCUCUGCAGUGGGGGUUGAGGUAGUGGGGGCUAGCUACCCGUGAGACUCGACCAGGACAGCAGAGGCUCGACGCGGUGAUAGCGGCGAGGCGUGCGGUAAGCACGGGACACAACGAUAGGCCAAGGCACUGAUGGUCAGACAUGUGGUCAGACAAACUGUGCAGGGGGUGCUGAAGCAGUGUUGAUGAGUACCGGAUUCAAGUUGGUGACUGGGUCUAUCGGUGCUAGUUGAUGGACAGGAGUUGACCAUGAAGAAUCUGAGAAAGUGGCGGAAAGUCUGAAAUUGUCAAAGGCUGAGAGAGUACAUGGCCGUAUAUUCUGUGGUGUUCAGUGCACAUGGCAAAGUGCGGAUGACAAAUACAGAAGGAGGCGGAGUGCUGUAGCUGUGGGACAUGCCAAAGACUAUCCGGAAAAGGGGUGAGACAACUGUGAAUUUGACUCAGGGUGACACAGGGCGACGGUGAAAUUCCUUCAAGUUUCAGACAAGCAGUCAAGAAAGAGCGGUGACGUUGAGUUCAGGUAACUCUUAUAUGUGGCGUCCAAUAUGUGAAUUAUUCAUUUUCAUGCAGACAGUGGUCGGUGUGUGAUGGCGUUGUACGUAUUCUCCGGAAGUUGGAAGCACAAGGUAGAGUAAUGAGGAACUUAAUUUUGCUCGAGUGUUGAUUGUGAAGAAGACAAGAAGGGACUACAGUUGCAGGUGGAGUCACAUGGAGUCUGGGAGUAGCAGCGGUGCUCAUGGCGUAUGUCAAGUCCAAUGUACAUGGGGUUCGAUGCACGGACGAAUUCAAGAUGGUGGGGAAUAUUCGCCAAGAUGGAGUUUGUUAGAGUUGUGUUGAAUAUUAUUGUACAAGUUAGGUUACAGUUGGACUUGGAGUCGUACUGUGUGUAGACAGGGUAGGAGUUGUGUCCUAAUAGGACACUUAUAUCCUAGACCUCUCAUAUAUAGCGGGGGUAGACACACGAUGUAACCUAUGCCAACAUAAUAGCACAGGCACGCGGGGGGAGCCGGCGGCGUGUGCUGGUGCCCGGGCGGCCAGGGUGCGGUAUUGUGACGGUGUCAUGGGGAGGAGCGCCCAUAGUCAAGCCCCGGGGAUGUAGCCAUAUCGGUGAACCUCGUUAACAAAUCUUGGUGUCAUCCUCGUGUGAUUGCUUGGUCCUCGGUAGAUCGACGGAGCGCCUUAGAUUUAUUCUAACAGUAUACACUAAUCGGGUGUCAGAAGCAAAAGGAGACUAUAAAAAGGCCACACCCAAAUGGGAACUAUAACAUGGGAGGAUCGUUUCGAUCGGGGAGCGAGUCUGAUCAUAACUCGGCUCAUCAAAAGAAGACGUACUCGACGAAGCUCCAACGUAGAAUCCUGUCGUCUUUUUGGAGUAGUGGACGGUGAGGUUAGGUUUCUGGUCGUGUAGCGAGAUUUGGUGUCCGGCGUUUGUUUUAGACCAAUUCAAAGGUUCAACGUCCAGGAAGCUGGUUCUUAAGGACACGUGCACAAAGACUUAUCGGUAGUCAUCGACAAGGUCAAUUCGACUUCGAUAGGGGAGCGACGAGUGGCUCGUUCUGACGGCGGUAGUGGUCGUUUGAUAGUCUCGAAAUCUCGAUGUAAGUUUUAUUAUGUGUAAGCGUCCCGAUCUAGAUCUAAGGAGGGGUUAGGAGGGGAGAGAGGACGAAGGAGGCCGGAGGGGAAGAUCAGCUUCUCUUAAUCAGUUUUGACAUAAUAAUUCUCGAUGCCCAUUCUCUCUCAGCCUCACCUAGAAAUACCCACGUCACGCAUGCCACACACGCAACGCGUCCUGACUACGCGGGCCCACUGAUUGCUUCCUCUCCACUUGUCUUGACUCCGUCAGCUCUGUCCGGUCGUGCCUCGGUUGCCUCGCUGGCCAGUGGGGCCGUCGCGGCUGGUGGGGUAGCCGUGACAGUCAUGACAUUCCCCCCUGCUUGUGUGCCGACUUGUCCCCAAGGCGGCGUAGAGGGGAACCGCUGCUGCAAUGCCACUGGAUCUUCCCAAGUUGACAGCGACGGGGGAAGGUUGCUCCAUUGCACCCGGAUGCGAGGGCGUGUGUCGCCGGCCACGCGCACCAUCUUGCGGUCAAGCACCAGCUCUGGAACAUGUUCUGCCUGCAAAAUCGAGUUAUUUGGAGGAAGAUCAUCACUUAAUGGCACGGUGGCUCCAAAGGCCUUCUUCAGUUGCGAGACAUGCACCAUCGGGUGGAUAUGGCUAGAGGCAGGCAAUUGAAGUUUGUACGCCACUGCCUCGAUUCAAGCCAGCACUCUGUAUGGGCCGUACUAGCGGAAGGAGAGCUUCUGGUGUGGCCGCUGCGCCACCGACGAUUGGAUGAAAGACUACAACCUGAGCAGCACUACAUCCCCCACAGCAAAUUCUCUAUAUGUACGGUGUCGAUCAGCCCAAACUUUCAUCCAAUCCUGUGCGCGCUUGAGCUAUUGCUGCAAGUGCUCAAGCAUCACUUCUCUUUCCUGGAGCCAUGCUGCAAGAUCUGGGACUACACAUUCGUCCUUCUGUGCGACGCCAAACUCUCGGGGAAGGUGGCCGUAGAUGACUUCGAAUGGAGUCUUGCCCAGAGCCGAAUGAAAAGAUGUGUUGUACCAGUAUUCCGCGAGGAACAACCAUUUGGACCAGUUGCUAGGGCAGGAGUGGACUGCGCACCUUAGGUAUCCUUCUAGACACUGGUUGACGCGUUCAGUUUGCCCGUCGGUCUGGGGAUGGUAUGAUGAGCUGAGACGUAGGUCCGUCCGACAAAGCUUGAACAGUUCUUGCCACACAUGCCCUGUAAAAAUUCAGUCCCGAUCUGAUAUGAUGGCUAGUGGCAAGCCGUGGAGCCGGAAGAUUUCCUUCAUAAAGACUUUGGCCACUUGGAGAGCUAUGAACGGGUGAGUUAAGGGCACGAAGUGCGCGUAUUUGGAGAACUUGUCAACUACUACCAAGACUGUGUCGUUCCCUCCUGAGCGAGGCAACCCUUCAAUGAAAUUGAGUGAGAUAACUGACCACGGUUUUUGAGGUAUUGGCAGUGGUUGAAGGAGCCCAGCUGGCGAUAUACGCUCUGUUUUCGCUUGCUGACACACCAUACAGUUGCGCACCAGGGUCUUGACCUGCAGUUUCAUGCCUUUCCACGCGAACAGUUGUUUGACUCUGUUGUAGGUGGCAUGGAACCCCGAAUACCCCCCCCCCCUCCGCAGCACUGUCGUGGAGCGCUCGGAUCAGAUGUUGUUGGGUGUCAUCAUCCUCACCAAUCCACACUCUCCCCAGGAAGCGCGGGAUGCCAUCCUGCAAUGUAUACCCGGGCUCGCUGUCCGGCGCGAGAGCUAGCUUUGUCAUAGGUUGCUGCACCGCUGGAUCUGCUUGAUAGCUGCGUUUGAUAGCUUCUAACCACGUGGGUUUACGUACGGAGAUUGCUCCCAUCUCUGAUUCUGACUUGUGCUCGCGUCGCGACAGCGCGUCUGCCGCUCGAUUUGUGACUCCUGUCUUGUACUGGAUUGUGUAUUGCAGGCCUAUUAGCUUCGUAAAGCCCGUUGUUGGAUCGGGGUAUUGAGUCGUUGAUCUGUCAAGUUCAAUAGGCUUUUUUGAUCUGUGUGAACCACAAACUCUGAAUGUUGCAGGUAGGGACGCCAGUGGUCGACGGCCAGAAGCAAGGCCAGGCACUCUUUUUUGUACGCCGAGAGGCCUAGAUUGCGCGGAGCCAAUGCUUUGCUGAGAUACGCCACUGGAUGUCCUCCUUGCAUCAGGACGGCGCCAAUUCCCGUGGCACUUGCGUCCGUUUCGACGACGAACUGCUUUCGAAAAUCGGGUAGUGCGAGCACUGGAGCUUGCACCAGGGCUUAUUUCAGCGCGUAGAAUGCGGCUUCGGCCGUUGGCGUCCAGACAAAGAUCGCUCCUUUCUUCAGCAUUUCCAUGAGGGGUUUGCUGAGUACUCCAAAGAAUCGCACAAAUUUGCGAUAAUAACCCGCCAAUCCCAAGAAUCCACGCAGCUCUUUGACGUUUCGCGGCUGUGGCCAUUCCUGAACCGCUUGGAUCUUGCUCUUGUCUGUGGCCACCCCUUUGUCGCUGAUGACAUGUCCCAAGUAACUGAUUUCCUGUUGGGCAAACGUGCAUUUGGACAUCUUGGCUUUGAGAUCUUUCUUGGCCAGCAACUGCAAGACGCGUUUCAGCAGCUAUCAAUGCUCUUCCAGCUCUUCAGAGUGGAUUAAGAUGUCAUCCAUGAAUGCCAACACCCCGUGGCAAAGAACUGGCUUAAGCACUGUGUCGACCACUCCUUGGAAUGUUGCAGGGGCGUACGCGAGGCCGUAUGGCAUUACCUUGAACUGAAAGUGCCCCAGGUGCGUUCGGAAUGCUGUCUUGUGCUCAUCCUCCGGGACCAAGCGGAUUUGGUGGUAUCCAGCUCGCAAGUCCAACUUCAAGAACCAUUUAGAACCCGCUAACUCAUCGAGCAACUCAUUGAUCACCGGCAUUGGUUAUGUCUUUUUGAGAGUUAUGGCAUUUAGAUGACGGUAAUCGACACAGAAACGCCACGUUUGGUCCUUCUUCUUGACCAGCAGCACGGGCGAAGAAAAGGCACUUGUGCUGGGUGUGAUGAGCCCUUUUUCCAACAUCUCCUUGACCUGAGCUUCUAUCUCAUCUUUCUAUUCAGGAGUGUAGCGAUACGGUCUGAUAUUGAUUGGUUUAACCCCUUCGAGCAGAGGGAUAGUAUGAUCCCAUGGUUGGCUAUCAGGCAACUUGGAUGGCUUUGCAAACACCGAGCGGAAACUGUCCACUACGUGUUGAAUGGCUGAAGGCACUUCUGUGGCUUUAUUCGAGCGAUCUAUUGCACACAGCGAUAUCACGUGAGCAAUAGAAUCACUUUUCUCCGUCCUGAGUAACUGAUCCAUUGUCACUUGUUCGACCCGCUGAAGCUUGGGCUGUAACCCCACCAGGGUGAUAGAAGCUCCCCGGUGCUGGAACUGUAGCUUUUUGCUGUCCAAUCAACCAUCAUAGGUCCACAUGCUUCUAACCAGUCCAUUCCCACCACCAUGUCAUACGAACCAAGAGGGAGAACUCGUACAUCCGUCUUGAACUGCUGCCCUUGUGUUGUCCACUCACAAGCACGUAUGUACCCAGAACAAGUCAAAGUACCCUCGUCUGCAAUCUUUACUGACACGGGCUGCAUUGGUUGUACUCAUGCUUUCAAUUUUUGGGUUGUUUCCUCAUUGAUGAAGCUGUGCGAGCUACCUGAGUCCACCAGAAUCAGCACUUCGUGGCUGUCAAUCCAUCCCAGCAGUCAAACGGUUCGCGGAGUUGUUGCCCCCGUGGUCGCAACUUUGGAGAUGGACAUGAGUUGUUCCUCAUCAGAAUCUGAUUCAGCCCCUUGCCUGUCUUGCGCUUUGGCCUGCAACAGUUCCAACAAUUCCUCGACCACAUGGAGUUGGACGGUGGCCGCGCACUGGUGGCCUUGACCCCAUCGUUCCCCGCACUUAAAGCAGAGACCACGCGCUCCACGAUAAUUGCGCAGUGCAUCAACGCGGUCCUCGCCCCGCGCUGGUUCGGCGCGUCGAUCGGCUGCCCGAGCCGCGUCCAAGGCCCGAUGAUCUUCUGCUGCUGCCGGAGGCGCGGGCGGCACCGGGCGGGGAUGUAAUCCACCCGCCGCUGGCAGAGGCCGAGCAUGGUGUCUCGCCUGGCCUGGGUCCUUCCGGGGCAUCAGCCCCAUCAGCUCCUCCUGUAACAGAGAAAGAGAAAAGGCGGAGUUCAAGUCUUGCGGGCGAUGUAAGGCAACACCAAUUUUAAUACCACUUUUGAGACCAUCAAGGAAUUGCGUAGUGAAGAACAGCGGAUCAAAGGCAGGGUUAUGAGCUAACAACUGAUGCAUGAGUUCCUCAAAUUGUUCCAUGUACUCUGUAACUGAUCCUAUCUGACGGAGAGUAUUAAACUGUCUAAGCUGAACUUGGUACUGCUCUCGGCCAAAUUUGGCACACACGACAGAACAGAGCGCCUCCCAGGUGAAGGAGGUGCCGUGUGCUUCCUGCACCUGCAGCCAACGCGCGACAUUGCCCUCGAAAUGGAGAGUCGAAACUCGCACCCACAUCUCUCUUUGAACCCCCUAGACACUAAAGUAUUUCUCACACUUAUUUUUCCAGAAUUGGGGAUUUUCGCCAUCGAAGGGCGAAAAAUCAAGCCGCGGAAGGGCCCAAUUGAUGUGCCCCCCGAACGAACCGUGAGGGGACGGAGGUGGAAGAUCAUCAGGAUGUGCCAGAUCCCCGCCCGAUUCACCUGAUUUCGAAGGAAAAGGGGAUCGGAGAGGCUCACCCGUGACCGGAGGCGGCGCCAGGGUAGUGACUACCCCGUGUGCCAAGCCUCCGGAGUCGAUGUUCCCGCAGUGGCCACUUGGCCCGUGGUGCCCAGGGUCGUCGGUCGGAGAAGACGACGACGGCUGCACAACUGCGCCUUCGGGAGAUGUCGAAGACGCCGUCAGCACGGGGUGGAGGGCGAUCCGGCCGACCUGGGUACGCAGCUCGUCGAGUUGCUGCUGCAGGUUGGUCACCGCCGGCUGCCAGAGCUCAAGCGAUUGUUGGAUCGCGUCGAGGCGGGCGUCGUUGGCGGCGCGCCCGUCGUGGACCGCCUUCGCCAGGGCUGCGAUGUGCUCUUCCAUGGCUGCCGCCUGCUGUGCUGCUUUCGUGUGGUAGCGAGGCUUCUGGUAAAGUGGAUCCAGGAUGAUUGACCUCUGAUACCAAGUUGUAAGGGUCCCGAUCUAGAUCUGAGGAGGGGUUAGGAGGGGAGAGAGGACGAAGGAGGCCGGAGGAGAAGAUCAGCUUCUCUUAAUCAGUUUUGACAUAAUAAUUCUCGAUGCCCAUUCUCUCUCAGCCUCACCUAGAAAUACCCACGGCACGCAAGCCACACACGCAACGCGUCCUAACUACGCGGGCCCACUGAUUGCUUCCUCUCCACUUGUCUUGACUCCGUCAGCUCUGUCCGGUCGUGGCUCGGUUGCCUCGCUGGCCAGUGGGGCCGUCGCGGCUGGUGGGGUAGCCAUGACAGUCAUGACAUUAUGUUUGAGAUAUUUUGUACUAACGAUGAACUUUGAUAAAUGAUCUAGAUUUUUUUUCGCAGAAAAAAGAAAUACGCGUGCAAUAACGGAAUGAACGCACGUAGGAUUGCCAUCAAGAGCCCCCCACGCUAAUGGAGUGGAUGACCCAUUCAUACUGUCAGAGGCCGAUGCUAUAGUUAUAUGUUGUUAUCGUUGAGGGCGUCAGCUCGAAGCUCGACUAAGGGAUGAAAAUCCUAAGUGCAAAAAUCUUUUUUUUUUGGGUAGACGCCAAUAUUUGCCUGAGACAAUUGGGGAGGUACCCCAGUGAACGACUCGUUCCCUCGGGCGGACGAGGGAGGGAGAGAACGAAAACGUUCGCUCGGGCUGGACGAGGGAGCGAGCGAGCGAACGAAAGCGUUCGCUCGAGGAAAACCCUCCCAGCAAACCCCUCUCCCCCUCCACGUAUAAGCUACCAAUUAGGCCAAGAAAAAGCCACUUUUGUUGUGACGCACUACAAACUUUGAACGGGUCUCAUUUUGAAAAGAUAAAUUGAGGAGAUUCGAUUCUUAGGUCGGCCAUUUUGCAUAACCUAAGUUUUGGGUGUUACUUUGCUAGUGAUUUUCCUAAAGUCCUAAAUUACCCAACCAGCAGCCUACUUUGUGCCACUGGCUAUAUGACUCAACUGAGAAUAAAUUGCACCAAUUCAAUUUUUUUGGCAAGAAAUCGGUUCGCGGACGCGAAAGCCUGCUUGGCGGAAGAACUUUUCUGCAAAGGACGACUAUCUAUAUCAACAACAAGUCCAUAAGCCUAUCAUCAUUGAAGAGAUUAUCAAGGGCAAAUUUCCAGUGUGUGACUCACAGCCAAAACCUGGGCCAGUACAAAGGCUUCACCCCCCAUGGCCGAGGCCCGAGCCCGGAUGGGUGGCGUUGUCCAUCGAUGGUUCUUUCGUGCAAGAUACUAGUGCAGCAGGUACAUGUAUGAUCCUCAGGGACAACAAUGGCACUGUUAUUUUCUCAGCAUACCGGUACUUAUUCCAAUGCAAAGAUGCCCUUGAAGCUGAAAUUAGUGCCACUCUUGAAGGACUGUCACUGAGCAUGCAACAGUCAGAGUAGCCUAUCAUCAUUCAUUCUGAUAGUUCGACUGUUAUUGCGGCCUUACAAACAAUUCACUGGACCGGUCGGCAUAUGGUCAUUUGAUUUAUGGAGAUUACGAAAAUGCUAGCUCUUCGGGUGUUUAUUCCGUUAAAAGUAGAUCGUAGUCAAAAUAGAUUUGCUUAUAGUCUAGCUAACAUUGGUCGUUCUGGGGGUUGCACCGCCUGUUGGUUGCACCGAGUUCCAGAUGCUGCUUCAGAGUUUGUAUUAGCAGACUAUAACACUAUUUUUAAGGAAUAAAACCCAUGCUUUACCCUGCAAAAAAAAUACAAGUCCAUAAGGGCCGAUGCCCGGCACGCCAUGUGUGCCUGCCCCUGCGUCCCGGUCGGGUCUCAAGGCGUGGUGCUUGCGUAUAUAGUGAUAUAUAUUUUUUGAAUUGUGAACAUUUUCUGAAAAAGUUUAAACAUUUUUGAAUAUGUGCAGAAAGUCUAGAAAUAGAAACAUUUUUUUGAAAUACCAAACAUUUUUUUAAAUGUGAACAAUUAUUGAAAACCGUGAACAAUAUUUGAAAACAAGAACAUCUUUCAAAACACAUUUUUUUGAAAUUUGUGAAUAUUUUAUGAAUAUGUAAAUAAAUAGGAUUUUUGAAAUUUCAAAUAAAUGCUUUCUGUUUUUUUUGAAAGUGCGGAUAUUUUCAGAAAUAUGUGAACAAAUUUCGAAAACAAGAACCUUUUUUGAGCUUUCUUAUUUAAAAGAACCAAAAGAAAAAGAAGCACACGUAAAAAUAAAAAAAUAGAAAGAAGAAAGAAAAAUAGAAAAAUUUAAUUUUCUGUUUUUUUUGAAAAUUUGAACAAAUUUUGAGUAUUUUUGAAAUUCUUGAAUUCUAAAAAGAAAAAGAAAAAGGACGUAGAGAAAAUACAUGAAAAAUAGAAAACAAAAAUAGAAAAAGGAAACCAAAAACCUAGAAAAAAAUAGCCGGUUAAGGAACCUUCUUCCUAAAACUGUUUGUUUGAAGAAACACGUGUACUUUAUUCAUACUUAUAACAAUUAUAGAUACACUGAUUUGGAUUUAAGAUCCAAGAAAAUACAAAGUAACUCCUAUGAUUAAUAAUUACAAUGAAAUAUCUUGACAACUCUUUCUUCGCUGGAUCAAUCUCAACUAGAAAAAAAAUACUCCAAAGACUUCGGGAGGGUGCAAUUGUACUGGAGGGACGAUGUUGUCGCUCUUUCACCCGAAUGAACAUUACCAAUAAUGAUUUUUGAAAGUACCUUGAGUCGACUAUCCAAAAAGAUGGGAAGUCUUGAUUGACGAACGUACUUGGGCCGGGGAUGAUCCCCUAGAAGUGCAGGCCAUCGAAUCACCAUAUCUUCACCAUGGUCGAAUUUCAACUCCACAAAGAAUCAAAUCAACGAAAAAAGCUUAACACACCAAUAUAAACUCAUUAAGUCCAAUUGAGGACAAAAACUCUUUAAUCUCAUGUCACAACCAAAAAAAUAAGAGUAAAUUUAUUCUCACAAAAUACGAUGAUCAUUAGAUGACGACGAAGAACGUAUAAUUCUUCAAGAUGCGAGGUCGCCUCACCUCAUAGCGCCAAAAAUGCUAGUCAGAGGCGAAGGGGCCAAAAAUUCCUGGCGGCGGCGGUGGCUGAGACUGCAACCCUUAACGAAACACUCGUGCUUGACAAAUCUUCUGGUUCAUCAAACUGGUAAAACAGGCUUGGAGCCUUCCGAGAAAAAAAUUGGCUGAGAACCCGUCUCCGAAGCUCGUGCGAUCUAAUGGGCGGAGGGACGCUGCCGAAGAUCAGUCAUUUAUUGCUCGCAAUAAGCGACCCGUAGCAUUUGGGGCGCACCUACGUUUCGCUUUAAGCGAGACCUAGGAAACCCCGAAAUCACUAGUUAAGGAGUACUUCUUAUAGAGAUUACUCAAACCUCUCCAGGUUGCAACAAGUGGCGCGUUGCAUGUGCGUCAUUUGUCGCAACCUGGAGAUUUUCCUUUUUUCGUAGAUUCGUUUAUUCAAAACGUUUUAUCUCUUAAAUCGUGCGUCCAAAUCUCGAACCGCUUUCGCCGUUGGAUUCCUCGCGUCAAGAUCUUCAAAACUAGAUUCCAUGUUGAUAGAUUUUGACGAACUUUUUUUUCGCAAAAAACCGGACAAAAAAAUCGACGAAAAAACCGAACCGGUAACACAGGUUUUUUUUCUUUCCAAAAAGGCACGCCCGUGCCUCUGACGAAAUCACAACUGUGCCUCUCGCGAAAGCAAAAUCGUGCCUCUCGAAAAACAAUAAAAAAGCAGAAAACACGUUUUUCCCUUUCCGAAAGAGGCACGCCCGUGCCUCUCGCGAAAAGUACAACCGUGUCUCUUGCGGAAAAAAACCGUGCCUCUCGCGAAAGAAAAAAAAACAAAAGCGUUUUUCCCUUUUCGAAAGAGGCACGCCCGUGCCUCUCNNNNNNNNNNNNNNNNNNNNNNNNNNNNNNNNNNNNNNNNNNNNNNNNNNNNNNNNNNNNNNNNNNNNNNNNNNNNNNNNNNNNNNNNNNNNNNNNNNNNNNNNNNNNNNNNNNNNNNNNNNNNNNNNNNNNNNNNNNNNNNNNNNNNNNNNNNNNNNNNNNNNNNNNNNNNNNNNNNNNNNNNNNNNNNNNNNUUUCCGAAAGAGGCACGCCCGUGCCUUUCGUGAAAGCACAAACGUGUCUCUCGCGGAAGCAAAACCGUGUCUCUCGCGAAAGAAAAAAAGAAAACGCAAUUUUUUCCUUUCCGAAAGAGGCACGCCCAUGCCUCUCGCGAAAGCACAACCAUGCCUCUCGCGGAAGCAAAACCGAGCCUCUCACGAAAAAAAAACAGAAAACACGUUAUUUUUUCGUUUCCAAGAGGCAUGGCCGUGCCUCUCUCUAAAACAAAACCGUGACACUCGCGAAAAAAUUGCAUUUUUUUGUGCAAAAGAAUUAUUUUUUUUGAAUUAUUUUUUGUCGAAAAGCUCGGGACGACCGGUAGAAAACCAAAACUUAAUUUUUUUAAGAAAAAAACCGUUUAAAAAGCCGAAAACGCGUGCGGAAACAUAAAAAGACAAAAUCCGAAGAGAGUGCCCAGAGCGCGACAUGUGGCAAAUGGCCGAGAGCGCACCAAGUGGCGCUGAUCCUUGCGAGGCUCCCGAAGGAGCGCUCGUUAAUUAGUUGCUCCCGGGAAACCCUCACGUCAGGAGGGCAGCUCUAGAUGGGCCGGCCCAGAUGCGCUGCAGGGAAUAUCCUCUUUUUUCUGUUUUUCUUUCACGUUUUUUCUUUUUGUUAUUUAUUUAUUACUUAAUUUUGUUUACACUUCCGAAAAUUAUAAACACAUGUAUGGGAAAAUGUACUUUACAUAAUGUUUUGUAAUUCGAAAAUGGUAAAUGCAUAUAGAAAAAAAAUGUUGACCAUGUAUACGAAAAAUGUUAAACAAGUAUUUGCAAAAUGGUGAAGAAAUAUUUAUAAAAUGUUGAAUAAGUAUUAAAGAAUGUUGAACGAGCAUUUGAAAGUGUUGAAUAAGUAUUAAAAAUGUGGAACAAGUAUUUGAAAAAUGUUGAACAAGCUUUCGGACAAUGUUGAACAUGCGUAGAAGAAAUGUUGACCACUUACUAAAAAAAUGUUGAUCACUUACUAAAAAAUAUUGAUUUUUUUAUCAUGUGUAUAAAAAUUUUAAUCAAGCAUUUAAAAAAAGUUGAACAAGUAUUACAAAAAUGUUAGUCAAGCAUUUGAGAAAUGUUAAAUGUGUAUAGAAAGAAUGUUGAUCAUGUAUAAUUAAAUGAUGUAAAAAAUUUGGUCAUGUAUAUGAAAAUAUUAAUCAAGCAUUUGAACAAAAUGUUGAACAUGUGUUUGAAAAUUUUUAAUCAAGCAUAAAAUGUUAAAUGUUUAUAUAAAAAAGUUGACCAUGCAUUGAAAAAGUGUUAAUAUUUUUUUGAAAUAUUAUUAAUCAAGUAUUUUAAAAAAUGUGAAAACGUAUAAAAAAUGUUGACCAUGUAUUAAAAAAUGUUACGAAUGUGUAGACCAUGUAUUCAAAGAAAUUGUAGAAAUAUAAAUUAACCAGAGAAAAAUGAAAAUAAAAAAUAAAACCAAAGAAACAAAUGCAAAAUAGGAAACAAAGAAAAGGAGAAAGAAAACAAAGAGGAAUGGAGAAAAAGGAGAAAGAAGACAAAAAAACAAA